UUUUUUUUCUCGUAAUAUUUUAGAUUCCGCCGCAGGUGGUACCUUGAUGGAAAUUACUUUGGGUGAAGCCACCAAAUUGCUUGAUAAUAUUAUGGCAAAUUAUUCACAAUGGCAUACCGAAAGAGCUCCUACUAGUAAAAAAGUUAAUUCGGUCGAAGAAAUUUCUUCUUUGAGUGAAAAAGUUGAUGCUCUUGUUAAAUUGGUUGCUAGUAAGAGUGCUCCUAUUGAUUUUAAUGAUAUGCCUUUGUCUACUUUGAUUGAGCAAAAUAGUGAUGCCAUAGAUGCGAAUUUUAUUUCUCGAAAUAAUUUCAAUAACAAUGCUUAUAGAGGUAAUUGUAAUCCUAGGCCUUUCCCUAGAAAUACCUCUAAUAAUUAUGGUAAUUCCUACGGAAAUAAAUCUUAUAAUAAUGAUAGGAACACCUGGGAUCUUGAGAACAAUAUUAAAGAAUUUAUCGACACGCAGAUGGUUUUCAACACUUCCAUAGAAGAAAAGUUGAGUAAGAUUGAUGAUUUGUCUAGAAGUGUUGAUAGAAUUGCUCAUGAUGUGGAAAAUCUCAAGAUGAAAUUUUUUUUGCCUAAGGUUGACGAAUCAAUUAAAGUUGUUUAUGUUUAUAUGGAUGAAAGUAAGAAAAGAACCUCUAUGCUUAGAGAUAAAAGAUAAUUUUUAGAAAAAGCGUUUUCUAGUGAUUUCUUUCGCAAAAGUGAUGAAGAUCUUAAAAUGAUUGGUGUUUCUUCUAUUGAUUCCUUGUUUAGUAAAGUUAAUAUUUAUGAAAAAAGGAAUGGAGAAGAGUCAAGUUUAGGUAGAAGGCGUCCCAAUAUUUCGGUGGGUGAAAAUCUUGAUGUACCCACUCUUCAGCUAGUGGGUUUGAAGUGGGUUUGAAGAGGUCAAAACUUUAGCUAGUGAUGUACCCACUCUUUUGGAUUACAAAGACUUUAAUUAUGAUAUUUGCUCUUUGAUUGAUUGUAUUUCUUUGUUGCAAUCCAUGAUAAAUUCACCCCAUGCUUAUGAACAAAAUAAAGCUUUUACUAAACAUAUUGUUGAUGUUAUGAUGAAAGCUUUUGAAGAAAAAUUGGAAUUAGAAGUUUCAAUUCCCAGAAAAUUACAUGAUGAAUGGGAACCUACAAUCAAAGUCAAGAUUAAAAAUUAUGAGUGUUUUGCUUUGUGUGACUUGGGUGCUAGUGUUUCUAUUAUUCCGAAAUCUUUAUGCGAUGUGCUUGGUCUUACCGAUCUUGAAUUGUGUUCUUUGAAUUUGCACUUGGCGGAUUCUACUAUUAAAAAUCCUAUGGUAAGAAUUAAUGAUGUUAUUAUUAUUGCAAAAAGGGAUUAUGUUCCCAUAGAUUUUAUUGUUCUUGAUAUUGAUUGCAAUCCGUCUUGUCCAAUUAUUCUUGGUAGACCGUUUUUACGCACUAUCGGUGUCGUGAUUGAUAUGAAAGAAGGCAAUAUUAAGUUCCAAUUUCCUUUGAGGAAGGGUAUGGAACACUUUCCUACAACAAGAAUUAGGCCACCAUAUGAAUCAAUCAUGAGGGCAUCUUAUGGAUCUCGAACCAAAGAUGACAAAACUUAGAUCCUUGCUUUAUGCCUAGCUAUGGGCGUAAAACUAUAGCACUGGUUGGGAGGCAACCCAAUGAAUAAAAUUUAUUUGUGUUUUUUUGCUUCCUGUUUUUGAGUGUUAGCACAAUUAUGCUACUGUUAUGAUUGUGUUUUUUAUGUUUUAAUUAGUGUUUGUACCAAGUAAAGCCUUUAGGAUCUUCUUGGGUGAUAGUUGUUUGAUCUUGCUGAAAAAACAUAAACUUUUACUGUAACAUCCCAAUUUUCAAUUUGGAUGUUAAUCAUUAGGUCAUUACUAGUAACAUGCCCAUGCGUUGCAACGAAAGAAAAAAAUCCCCCAUCCGUCAAUUUUUGUUUGUAAAAACUACAAUAUCAUGAAUUGUCGCCUCCAACCACACAUUUGUUGUAUUUUCUAAGGAAACUAAAAUUCAAUCCAAAAAUAACUACACAUUGAGAGAAUCGUUUGAUAUAAAUUAGUGCUACAAAAGAUGUUGAGCACAUCAGUCAUGUGGUAAUAGUGUUACUCGGAUAUUUGGAAAAAACAUAAACUCAAUGCAGAGUAAACUUGGUUGUUGUAUAUAAUAAUUAAACCUUAUAUCAAAAUGCAUUAAACAACCUGAAAGAUGUGUUCCUAGAAUUCCAAUCCUUUCAUUGGGGUCAAAGAUAUAACCGAGCACAGAAACAUUACCUAAUUACUUUUAAUAUGGGUUGUAUAGAUUUAAUAUGGACAAAUAAUGGAAGCUAUUAAAAAUAUCUCAGUUAGUAGGUCACAAAGUAAACAAAUCCUAUUCAAAGAUAUAAAGCAUAUAACAAAAGGCAUCAUGCAUCAAAAUAUACCCCUUGCACUAAAGCACAAAACGUACAUUGUGCUACUUUGCAACGCACAAACCUAGUUACUCCCCAUUAACACUUAAGUUCGAAACAGGACAUAUGUAGGGUGUAGCGGAGUAAACAUUAUCACAACUGGAGCUAGAAAAAAGGAGCAUAAAAAGGAACUCUUUACAUAAACCAAAAGAUGCACACCAUACCUUUUUCAGACCUAAAUAUUUCAAUAUGUCUAAUAUCCCAAAAUAUUACAAAUAGAGUCAACUUUACAAUAAGAAUUGUUGAAUUCACAGUAGAACAUAUCACUAAUUAAAUGCCUAGCUGCAAACCGAAGAAUCAAACGGCCAUGAUAACUUAAAAACUAAACCCAAACAAGAAGAACAUAUCACUAAUUGAUUAUAUGGCUAUUGACAAGUAAGGCAUUUAAAAAUUAAAAUAAACCAUUAGUUUAGAUGAUUGUUAAGUGGUACUCCCUUCGUCUCAAAAUAAAUAUCUACAAAGUUGUACUAAAGUUGAGGCUCUUAUUUUCGAAGGGAGGGAGUAGUAAAGCUUUAAUAGAUCCACCUCUAAGAGUUCGACUUUGAGUAAGCUAUUUCCUCCUAAUGCAUGCACAAUUCUCGAGAACUACAAAAAUUAGACCAUAAGAAUUACACGUAGUUGACAGAUGAAACAUAAGAAUAGCAUGCCGCAUAUGCUUUUUAGAAGAAAAAAUGUCUACCUUGUAGCUUGUGUCAGGCUUAUUCGCAGCCAUAUAAAACCACAAGGUUCAAUAUCACAUCUGCCUCAACUGUUGACCGGUAUCCUUACCCCUUCAUAGUUCCUGGAUGUCAAGAUGGUUGCUCUUUCAGCUCCAUCCCUUACCAUUAAAUCUUCAGGGUUGUAAGAGAUAUGCAAUGCACAAUGCAAGAUCGAUAUGCUACGAUCCAUCAGCUGGUAUGUAGCUAUGUGCGCCAUAUAUGCUGCACCAAUUAGUCUUAUGGAACAUAACAUCAGCCAUCAAGCAGUGCAUCCUACAACAUAUAUUACAUUAUGGUUGUAGACAUGUUUCUCCAAGAUCUUGAUUGGCAGCUCGAUUCCUCCACUGGCCGGAGCAGCGUGUAGCCGAUAGAUCUUGCGCUGCUCUUUUGAGGGUGGUCAGCCAUGCAGUCUGCUCAUGGCAAUGGUGGCUGGAAGAAGGACGCCGGUACCGUGUUGUUUUCAAAAGUUGACGACAGUGUGCCAUGCUCGUCGCUAUCCACCGGAGCAACAGUAGGCGCCAAGUUUCCGGCAUGUCGUGUCGGACGGGAGGUGGUACUACACGUCGAUGCCUAGGUGGCCGCACUGCGGGACGAAGUACCUAGAGAAGCGGCGUCAGGGCCAAGAGUCGCCUCGAUCUAACAAGCUGGGACGGUCGGCUUCAGCCGCGCGUGGCGGUGCCUUGUCUCAGUCUGGAACUCUGGAUGUGCUUGCCGAGUGCACUACCACCGCACGUGAUACGUCGUGCCUCUGGUCUGGAUGUGCAUGCAAAUGCACUGACUUCUUGUGUCGUGCCAUAGCUAGUGGAUUCGCUGCGCCAUUACAUGAUGUGUCCCAUGUCGCCAUACACGGUGGUCGCGUGCAUGCGCUAAGUCAUUGUUCAUCAAUUAAGUUGUGUGCUUGCCUGCUUUAGGCUAGCUUUACACGUUCGUGUUGAAGCUUGUGUCUACAUGGUUAAGUUUCUAACUCAAAUUAUCCGGCGGUUAGGCGAAGGAGCUGGGAAGGCCCACGGUGCGGUGUCUGGGAAGAGGAGCUCCCACAGAGAAGGGGCUGACCAGCGGCUGGGCGGAAGAGCUCCGGUGAUGGAAGAGGACAAUGGCGGUGGCUGGGCGGAGGAGCUUCGGUCGUGGAAGAGGAUGAAGGACAGCGGCUGGGUGGAGGCAACCCGCGGUGGAGGCGUGCUUGUACAGGCGGCGGCACGGGGUGAAGAUGAUGAGGGCUAUGGCGACCUCAAUACCGCAGGGAAGGGCUGGCUCAAUAGCCUUACAAUUUGGGAUCGCACCUCUCGGCUCCCUCGAUCUGCUAGCUUCUGCAUCUCCCUUCGACUCCUUCGUCCACCACCGAUGUCUACGGACAAGCGACCUAUAACUCACGUGUGCACUGCGGCCCGGCUGAUCGUUCUUCUUGAAAGUGGACUCCUGGCGCGUGAUGGUCUAGCGCUGAGGCAGCCACCGGGAGAUAGCUCAGGGGAGGAGGUCUCGACGGCAUCAAUCCCCACCCUUGGAAUGAAACCCUCCAAGUCCCGUCGAGCGAUUCUUUCUUUUCCCGUGUCUUGCGUUCCUCUCAACAGAUUCGAGCGAUUGUUAUAAGCUAGCACGAGAUCGGUCAAGUUUGAUUGGCUUUUGUGGGCUGGGCUUGUUUCAGGCGGCGGCUGGUCUGAGCUAUUGGUCCUAUAUAGAGAUCGGUCAAUACAUGCGCUACGUGGCUGCUCGUCACGGAUUGUUCCUUUUUUAGAUAUUGGAGAGAGAUUUUAAAUCUCAGCCGUCAAUUUUUAUGAUUAAUAUAAAAUCAACGGAUAAAAAAGGGUGACGUAUGGAAAACUAUGAAACUCUCCUCCCUUUAAUAUUAGGUACAGAUGCAUCCAUAUUUUGAGCAAUUUGAAUUUGAUUAAUUUGGAAUUUUUGAUCCUAGAGACCUUAAGCAACUCAAGGACCAUUUGAGAGAGUUGGAGGUUUUCAUAAGAUUUCAUUUUUGAAUUUUCAAAAAAUUGGUAAACAUGAUCAAGGUGAUUUUUAUUUGAAAUUAUUUUUCCAAUUAUUUCAAAAUAAAUAAAAUAAUGAGAGAAGAUAACAUGACUUCUUCAAAACAGAGGAAAUAAUGGAAACUUAAUUUUAAAUAAAAAUAUUUUUUAUUUUAGAUUUUAUUUGAUUAAAUUAGGGCAAAAUUGCAUUUUAGCCCAGAAAAAUGUUCACGUGCUCCUAAAUAUUAGGAGAGGACCAUGAAAAUUAUUUUUGGGAUUUUAGGAUUUUUUUUAUUAUUAUUUUGAUUUUUUUUCCUUUUCGGCGAAAUUAUUAAAAAAAACUCUUCGACCGACUGGGACGAAGCCCAGCCGGCCCAGGCCACUGCCACCGCCUUCCCCGAGCGCGGGAGUCCGGCUCCCGCCCGGAAACCGCCACCACCGGAGUCCGGCCCCGACUCCUCCUCCCCGCGCCUGGCCCCCUCUCCCAAGCCAGGCUCUCCUCCUCUUUAUAUAGGCCGCCCCCUCUCCUCACUGCACCACCCCGCCGCCCAAGCCACAGCCGCCGCCGCCGCGCUGCACCAUCCCGCCGCCUCGUGUCGCCGCCGCCGCCGCCUACCUCGCCGCACCGUUGUGCCGCGCCACCGCCUCCCCGCGUCGCGAAGCCCGACCACCGCCGACGCCGCUGCUGCCACCUCGCCGGAGCACCGUGCCGCCGCCGGUUUCCCUUCCCUGAACCGGUAUAAACCGAUAAGACCCGACCAUUUUUUUAAAGAUCGGUUUUAUUUUUUUCGGUUUAUUAUUUUAGGUUUCGUUAAAUAGCGAGCGUUCACCCGAUUCAUUUAGUUAACGAACGAAUUCAUUCGUUAGCUUUUGUUAGCGAACGUUCGUUCGUUAGAUUUUUUCUUUUUAGUUUAGUUUUCGGCCAGGGACCCAUCCAUAAUUAUUUUCAUCACAGAUUAGUUCCUGAUCUUCGAACCCUCACUACUUUUUGCUCAUUUAUCCAAAUCCAGUGAAACCAAUGCCAAAAUCUUCGUCUUGUUCCCCUCUGUCCAGAUUAACAACUUGAACAUGAUUUUGGAAAUUUAAAAUUUGGUUUCAAGCAGAUUUGAAUUUGAACUUUUUUUAUCGUAGUUUGAGUUUCAUAACUCCGCUUCGAUUGAUUCUAUUUGCAAAUAGAAGAUCUUCACUUGAACUUUCAGUUUAGAUCUUUUAUUUUGGUUUUACCUUUGAAUCUUAUGCUUGAGUGCUUAUGUAUGCUAUUGUUUGUUCACGAUAGAGUUUCCGGAGUGCGAGGCUUGCUACUACGAAUCUCGAGGGUUUUCCGAUCGUCAGCAAGGCAAGUAACACUUUGAUCAUAUCCCUUUAUUACCCAGUUUUUAUGCAUUAGUUUCAACCCUCAAACAUUGAAUGAGUAGGAUUUGAUAACAUGUGGGUAUUGGGAAGUAGCUAAUGAGUGGGAACCUAUUGUCUUAUAUUAAACCCCGGGUUUACUGCGUUAUGAUUGCACUACUUUGCUAUGCUCGUAGACGUGGAUUGGUAUGUGAGUUUCAUGAAAGAUGUGAGAGUUAGUUAUAACUAAGGAAAACUUAAGGUGACUACAUUAAUACACAUCUGGGUGGACUGGUUGCGGGCACCUGGAGCAAUCUAGUGUUGUCCUAGAAUAUCCCGGAGUACCAGUGUGAUCAUCCUAUGGUUUGCCAUCCAGACUCAAAGGGAUCAUAAGAUUAUUCAUGCUAGAAACUUCCAUGUGCAGCCACAAGCCAUUAUGGGCUCUGGCAUAGUUGAGUAAGUUGUGUGACCUCUUUUAGUGGUAGGCUAGCAGAUGUAGGGGAUGUAGGUGGUACUGUCUACCCAGAGUAAAGAGUUAAUGCUUCUGAAAGACUAUGUCUCGGUCAUCCGUUUCUCAAACAUCAUGUAGUGUGAGAAAUCUAACGAAGGAGAUCGUGUCUUGUGGGGAAAAGUGCGCAAACCUCUGCAGAGUGUAUAAAAUAGUCAUGGUUAGCCAUGUCCCCGAUUAUGGACAUCUUGAGUAUAUGGUACUUGAAUUAUUGAUUUGAUCUCAUCACUUUGCUUGAUGAAAUUGUUGGGUUAUAAUUAUUAUUUUGGGAUUGAGUUGGAGGAACCUUCUCAAUAAUUGCAUAAAAUUUGUAGUUAAAUAAAAUAUAUUCCUUUGUUGUAGGGAAAAAUUAGCUUUAUGCAAAUGAUAACCAUGGAGCCUCCACCAGCCAAAUAUGCAUGUAGUGAUAGUUGUUAUUUUGUUCAUUGCUCUAUAGUGUUAUCUUGCCAGCAUAUUCCAUGUGCUGACCUACACGGCUGCAACGUAUCAUGUUGCAGAAUUUUCAAACAAAGAUUUAGGUGCGAUAGGUCGUUGUCAUGCACUCGGUAUUGCCGUGGAGUUGGAUGGACUCAUUUAUAUUCGAUGCUUCCGCAGUUAUCUUAUUUAGAUGGCCUUCAGCCAUAUUAUUGUAACAAGUACUCUUUUUGAGACACUCGUGUAAUAAGUGUGUGAUUGAACUCUGCAAUAAAUCCCCGAGUACUGUGUGUGUCAGCAAUACCGAUCCAGGGAUGACACUUAAGCAUAGAUACUACGGUCCAUUGGGAUCGAGUCGCUACAAGAUGGUAUUAGAGCACACGGUGACUGUAGGACCCGACCACUAGGAAAAGCCACAGGAUACUCUUCUCUACUCAUUCUAAUUCUUCUCCAUUUCUACUCUAUAGAUGGUGGACCCAAGGAACAAGUUCACUCAACCGGAUGACGACACCCCUUUCGGACGACACUUGAAGGAAGUCACUAGGUACCUGAACAUCAGCAUACCAAGCUUCACCGGGACCUACACCGCCACUUUACCACAAGAGGAGCGUUGGAUGAUUCAAGUUCGUGUUCCAGGAAGGACUUUUACACCAAUUACCGAGCCCAUCGAGUUUUCCUUUGAUGCACCAACCCGGAGUCUAGGAAAGAGCAUGGCCGCCCACAUCGCCAUGGGACGCAUCGGCGAGGUGUACAACAAGGAUCUUAAGAACACCAUCUACCAGAUAUGUGGACGCCAAGAUGAGCAAUGGGAGAUGAUUCGCACCAGGAAGGAUAGAUCCAUUGCACCCUACAUACAGGAGUUGAACUAGCACAUUUGAUGCUACGAGAACCAGAUGUGCGCCAACAUGAUAGACACAAAGAAGGUGAUGACCCGGAACAUGGAGCUGGAGGAAGAACUCAACUCUACACGCGAUGGAUAUGAAGAAGAAAUUGAUGUACUACUGGAGAAGAAUGAAGACCUGAAGAAGAAGCUAGGAAUAUUAAUGGGGGAUCCCAAACCUGGAGUGGACAUUCGUUCAGAGGAUUACAUCAUACUAGACGACACAGACUCCGACCCCGACAGCAAUGAUGAUUAUGAAGACGAAGCUGGAGCAGAUAUCAUGGAGUCUUCCACCGAUCAAAAUUUCUAGUCGACCACCAUAUUACCAUUAGUAUUCUCCCAUGUAUAUAGUAAUAGUCCACGAGAUUUUGUAACGAUAGCUUAGAUCGAUUGUAUGCAUCUUGUUUGAAUUGAGUGGUGUGAAAUGAAUGUGUUUGUCUCAUGUGCAUAUGGGUAGUGAAAUCUCUCUUUAGACCUCACUCUAUUCUAUUCUCACCCCUCUAAACCUAUCAGAUGCCUCCGAGACGUGACCCCGCAUUUUCCUUCCCACCAGAGCUCACUCAGUUGAUCCAGCAGCAGAAUGCCUUGAUGCAGUUGCUAGUCCAGAACCAAGGCAACAACAACAACAACAACCACCCACCGCCACCACCUCCGGUCGACAACUUAGCCCGCUUUCUAAGGUUAAACCCGUCGGUGUUCUCUUGUAGCACCGAGCCGAUUGUUGCAGAUGAUUGGCUCCGUAAGACUGGGAGGGAGCUAACCACCACAGGUUGCACAGAUGCUGAGAAGGUGCGCUUUGCCGCACAUCAACUGGAUGGACCCGCAGCCUCAUGCUGGGAGAACUACACAGUCACUUUCCCCGUGGCCAAUGUCACUUGGGAUCAGUUUCAGCAAGCAUGCCGCACCGCACAUGUCACAACUGGAGCUAUGAGCAUGAAGAAGCAUGAGUUUCGCAACUUAAACCAAGGAAAUCAUAUUGUGACCCAGUACGUGGAUGAGUUCAGCAAGUUAGCUCGCUACGCCCCAGAUGAUGUGUCCAUAGAUGUCGCGAAGCAGGAGAAGUUUCUUGAGGGACUGAAUGAUCAGCUGAGUAUGUAGUUGAUGGUGGCAACAUUCACUAACUACUAGGAGUUGAUAGACAGGGCUCUCAUGAUUGAAGGCAAGCAGCAACAGAUAGAGAACCGCAAAUGGAAGUAUGGAUAGGGGAAGUACAACUCUGGAGCUCAGCAGAAGCCACGUUUUACCCCAAACCCGGGAGGACAUACCCAUCAUAACCAUGGAGGCCAUUCUCAUAAUGGAGAAAGUUCACACAACCACAGUGGCCCUAAAAAUGGUAAUGGGAAUGGAGGAAACACCAGUCAGAACCGUUUCAACCCCACUAUACCCGCCAAGAAGGAUCUAAGUCACAUUACUUGUUUCAAGUGCGGGAAGACUGGACACUACACCACUGAGUGUCCUGAAGCAAAGAAGGGAAAUGGGAAUGGAAGCUAAGGGAAGAAGCCAAAUCCUUUCACCAGAGGUCAGGUGAACCACAUCAACGUGGAGGAAGUUGAAGAGCAGCCUGACGCGGUGAUUGGUAAGUUUUUGAUUAAGUCAUUUGUCGCCCUUGUUCUUUUUGACAUUGGUGCAUCGCAUUCAUACAUAUCAAAGGGAUUUGUGGACAAGUUUAAAUUGCCAACCUUAGCCCUUAGGUCACCCAUGUUAGUAAGCUCACCCGGAGCGAAGUAUCUGGCCAGCCAAUGGUGUCAUUGGUUGCCAUUAACCAUUGGUAGGCAUGUUUUCCCAUCAGACCUAAUAUUUUUGGAGUCACAAGGAUUAGAUAUAAUACUAGGCAUGGAUUGGCUAUCGAAGUAUGGAGGAAACAUCGAUUGUGCUAGUAAGUCGAUACUUCUCACCACCUCGGAGGGAAAAAGGAUCAAGUAUGUGUCUAGGCAUGCGCCAAGGAGGACUCAAGUGAAUUCACUUUCGGGAGUUGUUCAAGAGGAAGUGCCAGUUGUGAAGGAUUAUCCCGACGUAUUCCCGGAGGAACUACCAAGCAUGCCAACAGAUCAAGAUAUAGAAUUUUUGAUAGAGUUAUUACCAGGCACCAGACCAAUAUCGAAGAGACCGUAUCGGAUGCCUACAAAUGAUCUGGAGGAAGUUAAGAAGCAGAUUAAGGAGUUAUUGGAGAAAGGUUAUAUUCGACCAAGCUCGUCACCAUGGGGAGCCCCAGUGCUCUUAGUUGAGAAGAAGGAUGGAUCUUUAAGGAUGGUUGUGGAUUAUCGUGCGUUAAAUGAGGUGAUACUCAAGAACAAAUACGCACUACCAAUGAUCAAUGAUUUGUUUGACCAGCUACAGGGAGCUAAAGUAUUCUCCAAGACCGAUCUUCAAUCAGGAUACCACCAGCUGAAGAUCCGUGAACAUGAUAUACCUAAGACAGCUUUUGCCACAAGGUACAGGCUAUAUGAGUACACUGUUAUGUCUUUUGGUUUGACUAACGCCCCUGCCUACUUUAUGAGCAUGAUGAAUAAGGUGUUCAUGGAGUUCUUGGAUAAGUUUGUUGUGGUGUUCAUUGAUGAUAUAUUGGUAUACUUGAAGAAUGAAGAAGAACACAAGGAACAUUUGCGUUUGGUUCUCGAGAAGCUCAGGGAACAUCAGCUAUAUGCCAAGUUCAGCAAAUGUGAGUUUUGGUUGAAGGAAGUUGGAUUUCUCGGACAUGUUAUAUCUGGAGAAGGUAUAGCGGUAGACCCUUCCAAGGUUCAGUCUGUCACUGAGUGGUUGGCACACACCUCAGUUGGAGAGACACACAGUUUUCUUGGACUCGCAGGAUAUUACCGGAGAUUCAUUGAGAAUUUUUCCAAGAUUGUGAAACCCAUGACGGAGUUAUUUAAGAAGGACACCAAGUUCAAAUGGACCAAAGAAUGUGAGGCCAGUUUUCAGGAGUUGAAGAAACGUUUAGUUACAGCCCCAGUGCUAAUUCUUCCGGAUAUACGCAAGGAUUACCAAGUAUAUUGCGAACUUCUCACCGGGGACUUGGAGGUGUACUUAUGCAACACGGAAGAGUUGUUUCAUAUGCCUCAUGUCAGCUUUGACCUCAUGAGUUGAAUUAUGCCAUGCAUGAUUUGGAGUUAGCAGCCGUAGUGCAUGCGCUCAAGACCUGGAGACAUUUUCUUAUUGGAAACCGUUGUGAUGUAUACACGGAUCAUAAGAGUUUGAAGUACAUUUUCACAUAGAAGGAGCUAAACCUCAGGCAGAGGAGAUGGUUGGAGCUCAUAAAAAUUAUGAUAUGAAGCUGCAUUAUCAUCCAGGAAAGGCUAAUGUUGUAGCAGAUGCUUUGAGCCGCAAGAGUUAUGUUAAUACUCUCAUAACUGGAUGAUUACUUCAGGAGUUAGCCAACGAUCUCAGAGAACUUUGUUUGGAGAUAGUUCCGAGAGUUUUUGUUGCAGCGUUGGAAGUUCAGUCCAUGUUGUUGGGAAAGAUUCGAGAAGCCCAGAAGACUGAUAAGGAGAUUGUGGAGAUAAAGGAAAGGAUGAGUAAAGGAAAGGCCAAAGGUUUUCGUGAGGAUGAGCACGAAACUUUAUGGUUUGAGGACCGUAUUUAUGUGCCCAAUGACCCAGAGAUCAGGAAGUUAAUACUUCAGGAAGCUCAUGACUCGCCAUACUCGAUUCACCUUGGAACACCAAGAUGUAUUUGGAUUUGAAGGAACGUUUCUGGUGGACAUGUAUGAAGAAGGAUAUUGUCGAGUAUGUAGCCGUGUGUGACGUAUGUCAGAGAGUUAAGGCAGAACACCAGAAGCCAGCAGGAUUACUUUAGCCUAUGCCAAAACCCGAAUGGAAGUGGGAUAAGCUUGGCAUGGAUUUCAUCACUGGAUUACCCAGGGCACGAUCAGGUUAUGAUUCCAUCUUGGUAGUAGUAGAUCGCUUGACCAAAGUGGCUCAGUUUAUCCCCGUCAAAACCACUUAUAUGAGCGCGAAGUUGGCCAAGAUAUAUAUGACCAAGAUUGUAUGUCUGCAUGGAGUUCCGAGGACCAUCGUAUCAGAUAGAGGAACACAGUUUACCUCAAAGUUUUGGAAUCAAUUACACCAGAAUUUGGGUACCAGGCUAGAGUCUAGUAUAGCCUUUCAUCCGCAGACAGAUGGACAGACCGAGAGAGAAACCAAAUUCUGGAGGACAUGUUGAGAGCUUGUGCGCUAGAUUAUGGAUCUAGUUGGGAUGAUAAUUUACCUUAUGCAGAGUUCUCAUAUAACAACAGUUACUAGGCUAGUUUGAACAUGGCCCCUUUCGAAGCUUUGCAUGGGAGGAGGUGCAGGACACCAUUGAUGUGGGAUGAAGUUGGAUACCGUCAGUUGUUCAGACCAGAUUUAAUCAGAGAGUCUGAAGAGAAAGUUAAGUUGAUUCGUGAUAGACUGAAGGUAGCUCAAUCUAGGCAGAAGAGUUAUGCUGACACUAAAUGCAAGGAGGUAGCCUAUGAAAUCGGAGACAGAGCAUAUUUCCAUGUAUCACCACUUUGAGGAGUUAAACGAUUUGGAGUCAAAGGAAAGUUAGCACCACGAUUUGUAGGACCAUACCGAGUUUUGGAGCAUAUGGGAGAAGUGGCCUACAAGUUGGAGUUACCCGAAGGUUUGUCAGGAGUUCAUGAUGUGCUUUACGUUUCCCAGUUGAAGAAGUGCCAUGCAGAGAUGGCCGAUAUUCCUCUGAGAGAUACAGUAUCCCUGGAAGCAAUUCAGUUGGAGAGUGAUCUAACCUACGAGGAGAAACCCGUCAAGAUUCUCGAGUUUGCCAGCCGAGUUACACGUAGCAAGGUCAUCAAGUUUUGCAGAGUUCAGUGGAGCCACCAUACCGACGAAGAAGCCACCUGGGAGCGAGAAGAAGACCUACGGAAAGACCACCCACACCUAUUUGCUAGCCAACCCGAAUCUCGAGGGCGAGAUUCAUCUUAAGGGGGGUAGGAUUGUAACAUCCUAAUUUUCAAUUUGGAUGUUAAUCAUUAGGUCAUUAUGCAUCCAUAUUUUGAGCAUUUUGAAUUUGAUUUAUUUGGACUUUUUUAUCCUAGAGACCUUAAGCAACUCAAGGACCAUUUGAGAGAGUUGGAGGUUUCCAUAAAAUUCCAUUUUUGAAUUUUCAAAAAAUUGGUAAGGUGAUUUUAUUUGAAAUUAUUUUUCCAAUUAUUUCAAAAUAAAUAAAAUAAUGAGAGAAGAUAAUCUGACUUCUUCAAAUAGAGGAAAUAAUGGAAAUUUAAUUUUAAAUAAAAAUAUAUUUUAUUUGAUUUUUAUUUGAGAUUUUAUUUGAUUAAAUUAGGGAAAAUUGCAUUUUUAAAAAUUGCAUUUUAGCCCCAAAAAUGUUCAAGUUGUCCUAAAUAUAAGGAGAGGACCGUGAAAAUUAUUUUUGAGAUUUUAGCAUUUUUUAUUUUUUUUAUUUUGGAUUUUUUUUCCUUUUCGGUGAAAUUAUUAAAAAAAACUCUUCGACCGACUCGGCCGAAGCCCAGCCGGCCCAGGCCGCCGCCACCGCCUUCCCCGAGCGCGGGAGUCCGACUCCCACCCGGAAGCUGUCGCCGCCGGAGUCCGGCCCCGACUCCGCCUCCCUGCCGCCUUGCCCCCUCGCCAAGCCAGCCUUCCCCCUCUUUAAAUAGGCUGCCCCUUCUCCUUACCGCACCAUCCCGCCACCCAUGCCGCAGCCGCCGCCGCCACCCUCGCCGCACCACCCCGUCGCCUCGCGCCACCGCUGUCGCCGCCUGCCUCGCCGCGCCACUGCCUCCCCGCGUCGCGAAGCCCUGCCGCCACCCAACGCCGCUGCCGCCACCUCGCCGGAGCACCGCACCGCCGCCGCCGGUUUCCAUUCCCUGAACCGGUAUAAACCGAUAAGACCUGGCCUUUUUUUAAAGAUCGGUUUUGUUUUUUUUCAGUUUAUUAUUUUAGGUUUCGUUAAAUAGCGAGCGUUCACCCGAUUCGUUUAGUUAACGGACGAAUUCAUUCGUUAGCUUUUGUUAGCGAACGUUCAUUCGUUAGAUUUUUCUUUUUAGUUUAAUUUUCGGCCAGGGACCCAUUCGUAAUUAUUUUCAUUGCAGAUUAGUCCCUGAUCUUCAAACCCUCACUACUUUUUGCUCGUUUAUCCAAAUCUAGUGAAACCAAUGCCAAAAUCUUCGUCUUGCUCCCCUCUGUCCAGAUUAACAACUUGAACAUGAUUUUGGAAAUUUAAAAUUUGGUUUCAAGCAGAUUUGAAUUUGAACUUUUUUUUAUCGUAGUUUGAGUUUCAUAACUCUGAUUCGAUUGAUUAUUUUUGCAAAUCGAAGCUCUUCACUUGAACUUUCAGUUUAGAUCUUUUAUUUUGGUUUUACCUUUGCAUCUUAUGCUUGAGUGCUUAUGUAUGCUAUUGUUUGUUCAUGAUAGACUUUCCGGAGUGCGAGGCUUGCUACUACGAAUCUCUAGGGUUUUCCGAUCGUCAACAAGGCAAGUAACACUUUGAUCAUAUCCCUUUAUUACCCAGUUUUUAUGCAUUAGUUUCAACCCUCAAACAUUGCAUGAGUAGGAUUUGAUAACAUGUGGGUAUUGGGAAGUAGUUGAUGAGGUAGGAACCUAUUGUCUUAUAUUAAACCCCGCGUAUUACCGCGUUAUGAUUGCACUACUUUGCUAUGCUCGUAGACGUGGAUUGGUAUGUGAGUUUCAUGAAAGAUGUGAGAGUUAGUUAUAACUAAGGGAAACUUAAGGUGACUACAUUAAUACACAUCUGGGUGGACUGGUUGCGGGCACCUGGAGCAAUCCAGUGUUGUCCUAGAAUAUCCCGGAGUACCCGUGUGAUCAUCCUAUGGUUUGCCAUCCAGGCUCAAAGGGAUCAUAAGAUUAUUCAUGCUAGAAACUUCCGUGUGAAGCCACAAGCCAUUAUGGGCUCUGGCAUAGUUGAGUAAGUUGUGUGACCUCUUUUAGUGGUAGGCUAGCAGAUGUAGGGGAUGUAGGUGGUACUGUCUACCCAGAGUAAAGAGUUAAUGCUUCUGAAAGACUAUGUCUCGGUCAUCCGUUUCUCAAACAUCAUGUAGUGCGAGAAAUCUAACGGAGGAGAUCGAGUCUUGUGGGUAAAAGUGCACAAACCUCUGUAGAGUGUAUAAACUAAUCAUGGUUAGCCGUGUCCCCGAUUAUGGACAUCUUGAGUAUCUGGUACUUGAAUUAUUGAUUUGAUCUGAUCACUUUGCUUAAUGAAAUUGUUGGGUUAUAAUUAUUAUUUUGGGAAUGAGUUGGAGGAACCUUCUCAAUAAUGGCAUAAAAUUUGUAGUUAAAUAAAAUAUAUUCCUUUGUUGUAGGGAAAAAUUAGCUUUAUGCAAAUGAUAACCAUGGAGCCUCCACCAGCCAAAUAUGCAUGUAGUGAUAGUUAUUAUUUUGUUCAUUGCUCUAUAGUGUUAUCUUGCCAGCAUAUUCCAUGUGCUGACCUACACGGCUGCAACGUAUCAUGUUGCAGAAUUUUCAGACAAAGAUUUAGGUGUGAUAGGUCGUUGUCAUGCACUCAGUAUUGCCGUGGAGUUGGUUGGACUCAUUUAUCUUUGAUGCUUCCGCGGUUAUCUUAUUUAGAUGGCCUUCAGCCAUAUUAUUGUAAUAAGUACUCUUUUUGAGACACUCAUGUAAUAAGUGUGUCAUUGAACUCUGCAAUAAAUCCUCGAGUACUGUGUGUGUCAGCAAUACCGAUCCAGGGAUGACACUUAAGCACAGAGACUACGGUCCAUUGGGAUUGGGUCGCUACAUUUACGCUCACGAAAAUAAUUUUCAUUUUUUACCAGAUAGCUAUAACAUACCCAUUCCAAUUGCAGUAGAUCAAUAUACAAAUUCCUCAGGUCGUCCUAAUUUUUCAGAAUUUUCCGAGUUACAGAAGUAUUCUAAAUAAUCAGAUUGCUACAGACUGUUCUGUUUUGACACAUUCUGUUUUCUUUGUGUUGUGUGCUUAUUUUGAUGGCUCUAUGGUUUUCUUUCAUGAGUUUUUGCCAUAGAAAAGGUGGAAUACAGUAGAUAUAAUACAAGAACAAAAUAUGAAUUGGUUUGAUACAACACUUAUAGUAGUGAUUUAUUAUUCUUAUACUAACGGAUCUCACAAAGCUUUUGAUUAGUUUUGUGUGAUUGAAGUUUUCAAGUUUUGGGUUAUCUUACGAUGGGUGAAGGAAUAAGGAGUAGAAGAGCCUAAGCUUGGGUAUGCCCCGGCAUCCCAAGCUAUUAUCCAAAAAUGAGCAACCAACUAAGCUUGGGGAUGCCCCCGAUUGGCAUCCCUCUUUCUUCUAACGACCAUCGGUAUUUUACUCGAAACUAUAUUUUUAUUCAUCACAUACUAUGUGUUUUUCUUGGAGCGUCUUGUAUGAUAUAAGUCUUUGCUUUUUUUAUUUUGUGCUUUAAGUCUUGAUCCCUUUCCAUACACACCUAUUUGAGAGAGCCAAAAUUAUGUCAUGACUUGUUAGAAUUGCUCUCUAUGCUUCAGUUAAAUUUUUAUGAGCAAUGGACUUGCUCUAGUGCUUCACUUAUAUCUUUUUGAGCACAGUGUGCUUAGUAUUUUUGAAGAAAUGCUCUCUUGCUUCACUUAGAUUUAUUUGAGAGUUAGCAAAAUUUUCAAGAAAUUCUCUCUUGCUUCACUUAAAUUAAUUUGAGAGAAAGAAAUAUUAUGCUCAUGAUCUUCACUUAGAUUUGUUUGAGCUUGUCAAAAGCAACAUAUGAAAAUUAGUCCCAAAGUGAUAGAUAUCCAAGGAGGAUAUAAUAAAAACUUUCAUGAAGAUCAUUGGACAAAAUAAACUUGAUUCUUAGUAAUAGUUUUGAGAUAUGAUGAUGUGAUAUGUGAGUCAUCUUGAUGAGUAAUUAUGCUUUAGUAAGAAUAUUGGUGUUAAGGUUUGUGAUUCCCUAUGCAAGCAUGAAAGUCAAUAGUUAUGCAAUGAAAUUAUAUCCUACUUGUGGUGCAUUAUUCGGUGUUAGUUAUGCUUAAUGCUCUCUUAUGAGAUUAUUCGUUUCUUGGUUGGUCGCUUCCCAAUCUUUUGCUAGCCAUCAUUUUGCACUAAGUACGAUCACUACUUGUGCAUCCAAAAACCUUUAACCCAGUUUUCCACAUGGGUCCACUAUAUCUACCUAUAUGUGAUAUUCUUUUGUCAUUCUAAGCAAAUUUGCAUGUGCCAUCUCUAAUUUUCAAAAUAAACUUCUCUUUUGUGUGUUUGUUUCACUCGUGGAGCGGUGAGGGGUGGCUAGUAUUUUCCUUGCUAGAUGUGUUAUUCUCACGAUGAGUGCUUAUUCACUUGUCAUUGCACGAGAGUAAGGCAAAGGUAUUAGGGAUGCCCAGUCCCGAAAUGGAAAAAUGAAUUUACUUUAUGUUGUCAAAUAAUAAAUUCCUUGGAAAGUGUUGGUAUGGAGGGCACCCAUGGAUACAGUUAGCCAUGGAAAGUGAAAGUAUGGUGGAAAAAGGAAUAAACUUUAUUUUUUGUUUGGGAACCGACUAUGAUACAUCUAUGAAUGGAAAGUAUUGGGAACUCUAAGUCGUUUUCGUUGGUGGGAUGGAUACACCUCCCAAAAUGUUUUUAUCUCUAAGUUUUUCGCUUUGAGCUCUAGCACCUCUACAAAUCCCUACUUCCCUUUGCGAAGGGCCUAUCUUUUACUUUAUGCAAUUUUUAUUUUAAAUUUGAGUCUCCAUCUUCGCUUAUAAAAGCACCAACUAGGAGGCAAUAUGAUCAUACUUGAGUAUUGGACAUAGCUAAUAUGCGAGUGUGUUUCAUGAAUGGAUCAAUGGUUGAGAAUGAUGGGCUAGGGAUAGCCUAUUUUAGCGUUGAUAUUUUUUUUUCGAAUACGCAUAGAAAAGGGGGAAAAGGCAAAGAAAGCCCUCCACAGGUAUAGUUACAGCUUACAUCUUACAUGUUACACCGUAAUCAUACUCCACUCCACGCCAACCUAAUGGCCUAAUGGCCUAACUCAUGCACCCAACUACUCACUCAAAUUCCACGUGCUUAGCCUACCAAACAAACCGUGUAAUCACCCUUCAUGAGACCUGAUACGUCUCCAACGUAUCUAUAAUUUUUGAUUGCUCCAUGCUAUAUUAUCUACUGUUUUAGACAUUAUUGGGCUUUAUUUUCCACUUUUAUAUUAUUUUUGGGACUAACCUAUUAACCGAAGGCCCAGCCCAGAAUUGUUGUUUUUGCCUAUUUUAGGGUUUCGAAGAAAAGGGAUAUCAAACGGAGUCCAAACGGAAUGAAACCUUCGGAAACGUGAUUUUCUCAUCAGAUAAGAUCCAGGAGACUUGGACCCUCCAUCAAGGAAGCCACAAGGUGGUCACGAGGGUAGGGGGCGCCCCCCCUAGGGCGCGCCCCCUGCCUCGUGGGCCCCUUGAAGCUCCACCGACGUACUUCUUCCUCCUAUAUAUAUCCAUGUACCCCCAAACGACCGGGACGGAGCCAAAAACCUAAUUCCACCGCCGCAACUUUCUGUAUCCAUGAGAUCCCAUCUUGGGGCUUGUUCUGGAGCUCCGCCGGAGGGGGCAUCAAUCACGGAGGGCUUCUACAUCAUCAUCCAAGCCCCUCCGAUGAAGUGUGAGUAGUUUACUUCAGACCUACGGGUCCAUAGCUAGUAGCUAGAUGGCUUCUUCUCUCUUUUUGGAUCUCAAUACAAUGUUCUCCCCCUCUCUUGUGGAGAUCUAUUCGAUGUAAUCUUCUUUUUGCGGUGUGUUUGUUGAGACCGAUGAAUUGUGGGUUUAUGAUCAAGUCUAUCUAUGAAUAAUAUUUGAAUCCUCUCUGGAUUCUUUUAUGUAUGAUUGGUUAUCUUUGCAAGUCUCUUUGAAUUAUCAGUUUGGUUUGGCCUACUAGAUUGGCUGUUCUUGCCAUGGGAGAAGUGCUUAGCUUUGGGUUCGAUCUUGCGGUGUCCUUUCCCAGUGAUAGAAGGGGCAGCAAGGCACGUGUUGUAUCGUUGCCAUCGAGGAUAACAAGAUGGGGUUUCUAUCAUAUUGCAUGAAAUUAUCCCUCUACAUCAUGUCAUCUUGCUUAAGGCAUUACUCUGUUUUUAACUUAAUUCUCUAGAUGCAUGCUGGAUAGUGGUCGAUGAGUGGAGUAAUAGUAGUAGAUGCAGAAUCGUUUCAGUCUACUUGUCUCGGACGUGAUGCCUAUAUACAUGAUCAUACCUAGAUAUUCUCAUAACUAUGCUCAAUUCUGUCAAUUGCUCACCAGUAAUUUGUUCACCCACCGUAGAAUACUUAUGCUCUUGAGAGAAGCCACUAGUGAAACCUAUGGCCCCCGGGUCUCUUUCUCAUCAUAUCAAUCUCCAUCACUUUAUUAUUGCUUUGCUUUUACUUUGCUUUUACUUCAUUUACUUUGCAUCUUUAUACCAAAAAUACCAAAAAUAUUAUUUAUCAUCUCUAUUAGAUCUCACUUUCGUAAGUGACCGUGAAGGGAUUGACAACCCCUAAGCGCGUUGGUUGCGUUGAGCUAUUGUUUUUGUCUAGGUGUACGAGGGACUCGAGCGUAGCCUCCUACUGGAUUGAUACCUUGGUUCCCAAAAACUGAGGGAAAUACUUAUGCUACUUUGCUGCAUCAUCCCUUCCUCUUCGGGGAAAUCCAACGUAGUGCUCAAGAGGUAGCAAGACCUGCACUCCACUAGGCUCUUCCCUCCUGCUCCACCUGUCGCAUGACCAUGGCUACGCUUGGGGCGGCGUUGUCGAAGACUACUGCGUUUCUGUGUUUCCACAGUUUCCAAAGGCCAAGCAGGAUGAUCGCCCUAGACGUCUUGAUACACAGGUCGUGCUUAGCUCGGUCUUGGCACCAAGUAGAGAGCAGCUCCGCCCCACCAGGAGCCCAAGUGGGCUCCUCUAGGGCAUGACAGAUGUGCGUCCAAACUUCUCGAGAAAAGACACAUGUUAACAGAAUAUUUUGAAAGACAUGGUGGCUUGUUGAUAUGCUUGAGUAUUUAAAUUAUCAUGUCGAAACUAGACUAUUGCUUUCAACAAUAUAAAAAUCCAAAUGUCCAUGCUAUAAAGAAAGAAAUAUGAUAUGACAUGUUAGGCAACAUUCCACAUAAAAAGUUCUGUUUUAUCACUUCCCUACUCGAGAACGAGUAGGAGUUAGGCUUGGGGAUGCUGAUACGUCUCCAACGUAUCUAUAAUUUUUGAUUGUUCCAUGUUGUUAUAUUAUCAAUCUUGGAUGUUUUAUAGUCAUUUUAUAUCAUUUUUUGGUACUAAACUAUUGACAUAGUGCCAAGUGUCAGUUGCUGUUUUUUCCAUGUUUUUUUACAUCACAGAAAAUCAAUGUCAAACGGAGUCCAAAUGCCAUGAAACUUUACGGAGAAUUUUUAUAGGCCAAAAGGAACACAAUGGGCCCUGGCUGCGCCCGGGGGUGCCCCGAGGGAGGCACAACCCACCAGGGUGCACCAGGAGGCCCAGGCGCGCCCUGGUGGGUUGUGCCCACCUCGGGUGCCCCCCCCCCGACUGCCUCUUUCCUCUAUUAAUACCCCAAUAUUCCAGAAGCCCUAGGGGAGUCGACGAAAUAUUCAUCCAGCCACCGCAGAGUCCAGAACCACCAGAUCUAAUCUAGACACCAUCUCGGAUGGGGUUCACCACCUCCAUUGGUGCCUGUCCGAUGAUGCAUGAGUAGUUCUUUGUAGACCUUCGGGUCCGUAGUUAGUAGCUAGAUGGCUUCAUCUCUCUCUCUCUCUCUCUUGAUUCUCAAUACAAUGGUAUCUUGGAGAUCCAUAUGAUGUAACUCUUUUGCGGUGUGUUUGUUGGGAUCGAUGAACUUUGAGUUUAUGAUCAGAUCUAUCUUUUUAUAUCCAUGAAAGUAUUUGAGUUUCUUUUAUAUCUUUUAUGCAUGAUCUCUUAUAGCCUCGUAUUUCUUCUCCGAAAUUUGGGUUUUGUUUGGCUAACUUGAUCUAUUUAUCUUGCAAUGGGAAGAGGUAAUUUGUAGUGGGUUCGAUCUUACGGAGCUUGAUCCCAGUGACAGAAAGGGAAACAACACAUAUGUAUCGUUGCUGCUAAGGAUAAAACGAUGGGGUCUAUCUCUACAUGGAUAGAUCUUGUCUACAUCAUGUCAUCAUUCUUAUUGCAUUACUCUGUUUCUCCAUGAACUUAAUACACUAGAUGCAUGCUGGAUAGCGGUCAAUGUGUGGAGUAAUAUCAGUAGAUGCAGGCAGGAGUCGGUCUACUAAUCUUGGACGUGAUGCCUAUAUAAUGAUCAUUGCCUGGAUAUCGUCAUGAGUAUUUUAAGUUCUAUCAAUUGCCCAAUAGUAAUUUUUUCACCCACCGCUUUGCUAUUUUUCUCGAGAGAAGCCACUAGUGAAACCUACGGCCCCCGGGUCUCUUUCUCAUAUUAUUUGCCUUUGCGAUCUAUUUUUAUUUGCCUUUAUGUUCAGAUUUAUUAAUACAAAAACCCAAAAAUACUUUGCUGCACUUUAUUUUAUUUGCGAUCUAUUUAUUCAAUCUAUUAAAACUUUUUCCCGUCACAAACCAAUUUCUCACACCGUACCCGAAAGGGAUUGACAACCCCUUUAACACGUCGGGUUGCGAGGAUUUGUUAUCUGUGUGCAGGGGCUGUUUAUGUUGCUUGGUUCUCCCACUGGUUCGAUAACCUUGGUUUCAUAUCUGAGGGAAAUACCUACCGCUGCUGUGCUGCAUCAUCCCUUCCUCUUUGGGGAAAUACCGACAUAGCUUCAAGCGACAUCAUGUACCCAACAGUUUCUUUUGGGUAUCCUAUGAAGACACACUUCUCCGAUUUGGGUUCGAGCUUAUCAGGUUGAAUCUUUUUCACAUAAGCAUCGCAACCCCAAAAUUUAGGAAACGACGGCUUAGGUUUCUUGCCAAACCACAGUUUGUACGGUGUCGUCUCAACGGAUUUAGAUGGUACCCUAUUUAACGUGAAUGCAGUUGUCUCUAAUGCAUAACCCCAAAAUGAUAGUGGUAAAUCGGUAAGAGACAUUAUAGAUCGCACCAUAUCUAAUAAAUUACGGUUACGACGUUCGGACACAACAUUAUGCUGUGGUGUUCUGGGUGGCGUGAGUUGCGAAACUCUUCCACAUUGUUUUAAAUGAAGAACAAACUCGUAACUCAAAUAUUCGCCUCCAUGAUAAGAUCAUAGAAACUUUAUUUUCUUGUUAUGAUGAUUUUCCACUUCACUCUGGAAUUCUUUGAACUUUUCAAAUGUUGCAAAAUUAUGUUUCAUCAAGUAGAUAUACCCAUAUCUGCUCAAAUCAUCUGUGAAGGUCAAAAAAUAACGAUACCGGUCGCGAGCCUCAACACCCAUCGGACCACAUACAUCGGUAUGUAUUAUUUCCAAUAAGUCAGUUGCUCGCUCCAUUGUUCUGGAGAAUGAAGUCUUAGUCAUCUUGCCCCUGAGACAUGGUUCGCAAGCAUCAAGUGAUUUAUAAUCAAGUGAUUCCAAAAGCCUAUCUGCAUGGAGGUUCUUCAUGCGCUUUACACCAAUAUGACCUAAACGGUAGUGCCACACAUAAGUUGCACCAUCAUUAUUAACUUUGCAUCUUUUGGCAUCAAUAUUAUGAAUAGGUGUAUCACUACGAUUGAGAUCCAACAAAAAUAGACCAUUCAUCAUGGGUGCAUGACCAUAAAAGAUAUUACUCAUAUAAAUAGAACAACCAUUAUUCUCUGAUUUAAAUGAAUAACCGUCUCGCAUCAAACAAGAUCUAGAUAUAAUGUUCAUGCUCAACACUAGCACCAAAUAACAAUAAUUCGGGUCUAAAACUAAUCCUGAAGGUAGAUGUAGAAGUAGCAUGCCGAUGGCGAUCACAUCAACCUUGGAACCAUUUCCGACGCGCAUCGUCACCUCUUCCUUAGCCAAUCUCCGUUUAAUCCGUAGCCCCUGUUUCGAGUUUCAAAUAUGAGCAACAGAACCAGUAUCAAAUACCCAGGCGCUACUACGAGCAUUAGUAAAGUACACAUCAAUAACAUGCAUAUCAAAUAUACCUUUCACUUUGCCAUCCUUCUGAUCCGCCAAAUACUUGGGGCAGCUCCGCUUCCAGUGACCAGUCCCUUUGUAGUAGAAGCACUCAGUUUCAGACUUAGGUCCAGACUUGGGCUUCUUCCCGGGAGCAGAAACUUGCUUGCUAUUCUUCUUGAAGUUCCCCUUCUUUCCUUUGCCCUUUUUCUUAAAACUAGUGGUCAUGUUAACCAUCAACACUUGAUGCUCCUUCUUGAUUUCUACCUCCGCAGCCUUGAGCAUUGCAAAGAGCUCGGGAAUCGUCUUGUUCAUCCCUUGCAUAUUAUAGUUCAUCACGAAGCCUUUAUAGCUUGGUGGCAGUGAUUGGAGAAUUCUGUCAAUGACACUAUCAUCCGGAAGAUUAACUCCCAGCUGAGUCAAGUGGUUAUGGUACCCAGACAUUCUGAGUAUGUGUUCAUUGACAGAAUUGUUCUCCUCCAUCUUGCAGCUAUAGAACUUAUUGGAAACUUCAUAUCUCUCAACUCGGGCAUUUGCUUGAAAUAUUAACUUCAAUUCUUGGAACAUUUCAUAUGCUCCAUGACGUUCAAAACGUCUUUGAAGUCUCGAUUCUAAGCCGUAAAGCAUGGCACACUGAACUAUCGAGUAGUCAUCAGAUUUAGCUUACCAUACGUUCAUAACGUCCGGAGUUUCUCCUACAAUAGGCCUUGCACCUAGCGGUGCAUCCAGGACGUAAUUCUUCUGUGCAGCAAUGAGGAUAAUCCUCAAGUUACGGACCCAGUCUGUGUAGUUGCUACCAUAAUCUUUCAACUUUGCUUUCUCUGGGAACGCAUUAAAAUUCAAGGGAGCGGUAGCACGGGCCAUUGAUCUACAACAUAGGUAAGCAAAAAGUAUCAUGAUAAGUUCAUGAUAAAUUUAAGUUCAAUUAAUCAUAUUACUCAAGAACUCCCACUUAGAUAGACAUCCCUCGAGUCAUCUAAAUGAUCACGUGAUCCAUAUUAACUAAACCAUGUCCGAUCAUCACGUGAGAUGGAGUAGUUUUCAAUGGUGAACAUCUCUGUGUUGAUCAUAUCUUACUAUAUGAUUCUGUUGGGUUUCGUAGUAAUUUCAAAAAAAAUCCUACGCUCACGCAAAAUCAUGUGAUGCAUAGAAACGAGAGGGGAGAGUGUUGUCUACGUACCCACGCAGACCGACUGCGGAAGCGUUGACGCAACAUAGAGGAAGUAGUCGUACGUCUUCACGAUCCAACCGAUCAAGCACCGAAACUAUGGCACCUCCGAGUUCGAGCACACGUUCAGCUCGAUGACGAUCCCCGGACUCCGAUCCAGCAAAGUGUCGGGGAAGAGUUCCGUCAGCAUGACGGCGUGGUGACGAUCUUGAUGUACUACAGCAGCAGGGCUUCGCCUAAACUCCGCUACAGUAUUAUCGAGGACUAUGGUGGCUGGGGGCACCGCACACGGCUAAGGAAUAAAUCACGUGGAUCAACUUGUGUGUUUUUGGGGUGCCUCUGCCUCAGUAUAUAAAGGACUAGAGGGGGGGAAGGCUGGCCGGCCAAGCUUGGCGCGCCAGGAGAGUCCUACUCCCUCUGGGAGUAGGAUUCCCCCCCCCCCCCCAAUCCUAGUUGGAAUAGGAUUCGCGGAGGGGGAAAAGAGAGAGGGGGGCCGGCCACCUCUCCUUGUCCUAAUAGGACUAGGGGAGGGAGGGUGGCGCGCAGCCAAUCUAGGGCAGCCCCUUCUCUUUUCCACUAAGGCCCACUAAGGCCCAUAUAGCUCCCCGGGGGGUUCUGGUAACCUCCCGGUACUCCGGUAAAAUCCCGAUUUUACCCGGAACACUUCCGAUAUCCAAACAUAGGCUUCCAAUAUAUCAAUCUUUAUGUCUCGACCAUUUCGAGACUCCUCGUCAUGUCCGUGAUCACAUCCGGGACUCCGAACAACCUUCGGUACAUCAAAAUGCAUAAACUCAUAAUAUAACUGUCAUCGUAACCUUAAGCGUGCGGACCCUACGGGUUCGAGAACAAUGUAGACAUGACCGAGACAUGUCUCCGGUCAAUAACCAAUAGCGGGACCUGGAUGCCCAUAUUGGCUCCUACAUUUUCUACGAAGAUCUUUAUCGGUCAGACCGCAUAACAACAUACGUUGUUCCCUUUGUCAUCGGUAUGUUACUUGCCCGAGAUUCGAUCGUCGGUAUCCAAUACCUAGUUAAAUCUCGUUACCGGCAAGUCUCUUUACUCGUUCCGUAAUACAUCAUCUCACAACUAACAUAUUAGUUUCAAUGCUUGCAAGGCUUAUGUGAUGUGUAUUACCGAGAGGGCCCAGAGAUACCUCUCCGACAAUCGGAGUGACAAAACCUAAUCUCGAAAUACGCCAACCCAACAUGUACCUUUGGAGACACCUGUAGUACUCCUUUAUAAUCACCCAGUUACGUUGUGACGUUUGGUAGUACCCAAAGUGUUCCUCCGGUAAACGGGAGUUGCAUAAUCUCAUAGUUAUAGGAACAUGUAUAAAUCAUGAAGAAAGCAAUAGCAACAUACUAAACGAUCGGGUGCUAAGCUAAUGGAAUGGGUCAUGUCAAUCAGAUCAUUCAACUAAUGAUGUGAUCCCGUUAAUCAAAUAAGAACUCUUUGUCCAUGGUUAGGAAACAUAACCAUCUUUGAUUAACGAGCUACUCAAGUAGAGGCAUACUAGUGACACUCUGUUUGUCUAUGUAUUCACACAUGUAUUAUGUUUCCGGUUAAUACAAUUCUAGCAUGAAUAAUAAACAUUUAUCAUGAAAUAAGGAAAUAAAUAAUAACUUUAUUAUUGCCUCUAGGGCAUAUUUCCUUCAGAUUCACGUUUGAACUUUUGGUCUCAGUGUUCCGAGGCCAUAUCUGUACAUGCUAGUCUCGUCAAGUUUAACCCGAGUAUUCCGCACGUGCAAAACUAUCUUGCACCCAUUGUAUAUGAACGUAGAGCUUAUAACACCCGAUCAUCACGUGGUGUCUCGACACGACGAACUGUCACAACGGUGCAUACUUAGGGAGAACACUUUGAUGACCCACAAGUAUAGGGGAUCAAUUGUAGCUAUUUUCAAUAAGUAAGAGUGUCGAACCCAACGAGGAGCAGAAGGAAAUGACAACUGGUUUUCAGCAAAUUAAUGUCUGCAAGUGCAGAAAUUGUAAGUAGCAGACUAGUUUGAUAGCAAGGUAAUUUGUAAUGAGCAUGUAACGAUAGUCGUAACAAAAGUGCAGCAAGGUAGCCCAAUCCUUUUGGGGCAAAGGGCAGGCCAAAACGGUCUCUUAUGAUAAGCAAAGCAUUCUUGAGGGUACACGGGAAUUUAAUCUAGUCACUUUCAUCAUGUUGGCUUAAUUCAUGUUCGGUACUUUGAUAAUUUGAUAUGUGGGUAGACCGGUGCUUAGGUGCCGUUCUUACUUGAAUAAACCUCCUACUUAUGAUUAACCCUCUCGCAAGCAUCCGCAACUACGAGAAAAGUAUUAAGAAUAAAUUCUAACCAUAGCUUUAAACUUUUGGAUCCAAUUGGCCCCUUACGGAAUAGCACAUAAACUGGGGUUUAAGCUUCUGUCACUCUCGCAACCCAUCAUCUAAUUGCUACUCCACAAUGCAUUCCCUUAGGCCCAAAUAUGGUGAAGUGUCAUGUAGUCGACGUUCACAUGACACCACUAAGGGAAUCACAACAUACAUACUAUCAAAAUAUCGAAAACAUAUCAAGUUCACAUGAUUACUUGCAACAUGAUUUCUCCCGUGACCUCAAGAACAAAAAUAACUACUCACAAACUAUAAUCAUGCUCAAGAUCAAAGGGGUAUUAAAUAGCAUAUUGGAUCUGAACAUAUAAUCUUCGACCAAAUAAACCAUAUAGUAAUCAACUACAAGAUGUAAUCAACACUACUAGUCACCCACAAGCACCAAUCUAUAGUUCCGGUAACAAGAUUGAACACAAGAGAUGAACUAGGGUUUGAGAUGAAAUGGUGUUGUUUAAGAUGUUGAUGGAGAUUGCCCUCUCCAAGAUGGGAGAGUUGUUGGUGAUGAUGAUGACAAUGAUUUCCCCCUCCGGGAGGGAAGUUCCCCCGGCGGAAUCGCUCCGCCGGAGGGCAAAAGUGCUCCUGCCCAAGUUCCGCCUCGAGGCGGCGGCGCUCCAUCCCGAAAGUCCUCUCCUUUUUUUUCUAGGUCAAAAUUACCUAUGUACCAGAAUAUGGGCACCGGAGGUGGGCCUGGGUGAGCACAACCCACCAGGGCAUGCCUGGGCUGCCUGGCGCGCCCAGGUGGGUUGUGCCCACCUGGUAGGCCCCCUCUGGUAGUUAUUUGCUCCAAUAAUUCUCAUAUAUUCUAUAAAAAAAUCCUCAUGAAGUUUCAGCUCAUUUGGAGUUGUGCAGAAUAGGUAGCCUGACGUAGCUUUUUAGGUCUAGAUUUCCAGCUGCCGGAAUUCUCCCUCUUUGUGUAUACCUUGCAUAUUAUGAGAGAAAAGGCAUUAGAAUUACUCCAAAAAGCUUUAUUAUGGAUAAAAACAUCAUAAAUAACAGUAAGAAAACAUGAUGCAAAAUGGACGUAUCACACUUAUACCUUGAAAUUUAGUGAGGGGUCAUCUUAUAAUGCUACUGCCGUACUAAGCAAAAUAAGAUGCAUAAAAGAUAAACAUCACAUGCAAUCAAAUAUGUGACAUGAUAUGGCCAUCAUCAUCUUGUGCCUUUGAUCUCCAUCUCUAAGGAACCGUCAUGAUCUCCAUCGUCACCCUCUUGACACCUUGAUCUCCAUCGUAGUGUCGUUGUCGUCUCGCCAACUAUUGCUUCUACGACUAUUGCUAACGCACAGUGAUAAAGUAAAGCAAUUACAUGGUGAUUGAAUUUCAUACAGUAAAGCGACAACCAUAAGGCUCCUGUCAGUUGUCGAUAACUUUUACAAAACAUGAUCAUCUCGUACAAUAACGUAUAUCACAUCAUGUCUUGACCAUAUCACAUCACACACAUGCCCUGCAAAAAAAGUUAGACGUCAUCUACUUUGUUGUUGCAAGUUUUACAUGGCUGCUACGGGCUUAUAGUAAGAACCGUUCUUACCUACGCAUCAAAAACACAAAGAUUUUUUGUCAAGUGUGAUGUUUUAACCUUCAACAAGGACCGUCCAUAGUCAAAUUCGAUUCAACUAAAGUUGGAGAAACAGACACCCGCCAGCCACCUUUAUGCAAAACAAGUUGCAUGUCUAUCGGUGGAACCGGUCUCAUGAACGUGGUCAUGUAAGGUUGGUCCGGGACGCUUCAUCCAACAAUACCGCCAAAUCAAAAGAAUACAUUGGUGGUAAGCAAUAUUACUAUGAUCACCCAGAACUCUUUGUGUUCUACUCGUGCAUAUCAUCUACGCAUAGACCUAGCUCGGAUGCCACUAUUGGGGAACGUAGCAUGCAAUUUCAAAAAAAAUCCUACAAUCAAGCAAGAUCUAUCUAGGAGAUGCAUAGCAACGAGAGGGGGAGAGUGUGUCCAUGUACCCUCAUAGACCGAAAGCGGAAGCGUUAGCUUAACGCAGUUGAUGUAGUCGAACGUCUUCGCGAUCCAACCGAUCAAGAACUGAACGUGCGGCACCUCCGAGUUAUGCACACGUUCAGCUCGAUGACGUCCCUCGAACUCUUGAUCCAGCAAAGUGUCGAGGGAGAGUUUCAUCAGCACGAUGGUGUGGUGAUGUGAUCCGUGCAGUGCUUCGCCUAAGCACUACGACAAUAUGACCAGAGGAGUAAACUGUGGAGGGGGCACCGCACACGGCUAAGAGAACAACUGAUGUGUUUUGGGGUGCCCCCCUGCCCCCGUGUAUAAACGAGGAGGGGUGGAGGCCAUCCCAAGGGGGGGGGCAAGUGGGGGGAAAACGACUAGGACUCCUAGUCCUAGUCGGCCCCCUUUCCUUUCUUUUGGAGGCGGGAAAGGGAAGGAGGGGGAGAGGGUGAAGGAAAAGGGGGGCCGCGCCCCCUUCCCCUUGUCCAAUUUGGACUGCCCAUGGGGGGGCGUGCCACCCCUUGUGGGCUCCCUUCUCUCUCCCCUAUGGCCCAUGUUGGCCCAUUACUUUCCCUGGGGGCUUCCGGUAACCCCUCGGUACUCCGAAAAAUAUCUGAAACGCUCCGAAACUAUUUUGGUGUCCAAAUACUAUCGUCCAAUAUAUCAAUCUUUACCUCUCGACCAUUUCGAGACUCCUCGUCAUGUCUGUGAUCUCAUCCGGGACUCCGAACAAUCUUCGGUCACCAAAACACAUAACUCAUAAUACAAAUCAUCAUCGAACGUUAAGCGUGCGGACCCUACGGAUUCAAGAACUAUGUAGACAUGACCGAGACACAUCUCCGAUCAAUAACCAAUAGCAGAACCUUGAUGCUCAUAUUGGUUCCUACAUAUUCUAGAAAGAUCUUUAUCGGUCAAACCGUAAUGACAACAUACGUCAUUCCCUUUGUCAUCGAUAUGUUACUUGCCCAAGAUUCGAUCGUCGGUAUCUUCAUACCUAGUUCAAUCUUGUUACCGACAAGUCUCUUUACUCGUUUCGUAAUACAUCAUCCCGCAACUAACUCGUUUGUCACAUUGCUUGCAAGGCCUAUCAUGAUGUGCAUUACCGAGAGGUCCCAGAGAUACCUCUCCGAUACUCGGAGUGUCAAAUCCUAAUCUCGAUCUAUGCCAACCCAACAAACACCUUCGGAGACACCUGUAGAGCAUCUUUAUAAUCACCCAGUUAUGUUGUGAUGUUUGAUAACACACAAGGUGUUCCUCCGGUAUUCGGGUGUUUCAUAAUAUCAUAGUCAAAGGAAUAUGUAUAAGUCAUGAAGAAAGCAAUAGCAAUAAAAAUUAACGAUCAUUAUGCUAAGCUAACGGGUGGGUCUUGUCCAUCACAUCAUUCUCCUAAUGAUGUGAUCCCGUUUAUCAAAUGACAACACAUGUCUAUGGUCAGGAAACUUAACCAUCUUUGAUUAACGAGCUAGUCAAGUAGAGGCAUACUAGGGACACUUUGUUUUGUCUAUGUAUUCACACAUGUAUCAAGUUUCUAGUUAAUACAAUUCUAGCAUGAAUAAUAAAAAAUUAUCAUGAUAUAAGGAAAUAUAAAUUACAACUUUAUUAUUGCCUCUAGGACAUAUUUCCUUCAUACUAGACAUCCGGAUAAAUAUACAUGAUUUUCCCAAUGGUUAUGCUCAUUUAGUCACAACUUCGGCAGCCAAGAUUGGAGAGGUCUUGUAUGCUGAAACACGGUCCCAUGACUUUACGAGCAAGUUCUUUCGUGUUUGGGUAAGAAUAAAUGUUCUGAAACUGCUCAAGAGCACUGUCACUAUGGUUCGUGAUCUUAAGCGUCAGAUCUACAAAGUUAAGUAUGAAAGUUUCUCAGAUAGGUAUUCUGUGUGCGGCCAGGGUAUACAAACCGAACCGAAAACCAAAAAACGAACAAAAAACACCAUGUCAAACCAAAAUUUUGGUUUUCCAGCUUUUGGUUUUAGUUUCAGUUUUGAAAUCAAAAAAUCAUUAGCAUUUUGGUUUUUUCAGUUAGAAGCUGAAAACCAUUUGGUUAAACCGAAUUAACAGGAUUGUGGUUUUUUUGGUCAAAAAGCGUAAUGGGCUGCUACAGUACAAUACUUUCUAGCCCAUUUAGUGCUUCGGUUUACGUGAUUAGUCUGACUGCUUAUUCAACUUCUCUUUUUUAUCCUUUUCUGAUUGGUUUUUCCUCAUUAUGAUAUAUAUAUCAUGUAUUUACACGUGGAAGAGUGUGUUGUCUCAAAAAUUCACAUCAACUUUGGUUAAUUUGGUUAUUACCAAAAGCGAAACGAAAGUAAAUGGUUAUUACCGAAAACGAACCGUAUCUAUGUAUAAAACAGUGUAAACAAAAAAAUAGAAAUCGUAUAAACCGGACUGAAUCAAAACAAAAAUACUGUCUGCACACCCUAAGUGUGCGGCUACCUGGGAUACAUCUACAAAGAACACAGUGAAGAUAUCCGUCUACCCAGUGCAUUGGUCUUUUAAGCAUCUCGGGGCAUCUCCAACGUUGACUCUCAAAUCACCCGCAUACAUCCGGACCGCGUGGUCUGAACGUGUUGUGUCGUCCAAAGCAGGUAUGUAUCAGUCUGUUUGAUGGUCCGGAUGUACUUUCUCCCGCAAACUAGAGACAAACUAAAGGAGGAUUUGCGGGCGUCCGAACCAAUGCCAUGCCCGCGUCUUGUCACCCUGGCCCACCCAACCCUCCCCCUCUCCCUCACCCGUACGCGCUUUCUGCCCGAAAUGGCCAGCGCCGCUCUAGAGUGUCAGUGCCACCUUCAUGCCCGGCCAGAGCGGACGCAACCUCUCACUAUGGUCAUCACUGAAGCGACACGUCGGCCGAGUGAGCACCACUCGCAUCGCUUCCCGAUGCACGCGACUACUCCAUGUUCAAAAGACACCACAAUCGUCUGCCCGUCCAUCUGCCACCCACAUUAAUGACACACGGUUGUCAAGGAACCUACUCCGGCAUCAGUCGUCUGUCCAUCUGCCGCCCACCAUUGCCAUUCGGCGCUAUAUAAACUGUUGCCCUGGCCAUAGCUGCAUUCAUCCUCCUCCGGUCCUUUCUCCUCUAUGCACCACUCCCACCAUGGCCUUCUUGCACUCCAAAGCUCUCUAGGACGGACUAUCGCUAGAGCAGAAGAAGGAGAUGGCCGCCAUUGUUGUCGGCUGGUAACCGAAGGCCGACGACGUCCCAAUGGUGGACAGGGCCGAGGACGAGCUGGUGCAUUGCACCAUGACCAUCGGCGAGGCCCGUGCCCAUUACAUGGCCAUGGUGCGGGAGGAACGGGAGAUGAGCAGUUCCUGGAGGCACAGGACGACAUGACCUACAACCUUCAGCUCCUCCAAGAGCACCAAUAGGUGGAAGACCAGCUCAACGCCGGCAAGGAGAUCGCGCCGGACGCGGACGUGGCCGAGCAGGAGGCUAUUCUCGAGUCCUACCGCUCAGCCCGCGAGAUCCGCCUCGCCCGAUGGCAGUAUUGCUAGUGUCGGGCGGAACUAGAUGCCGCCUACAAGGAGUUCGACGAGGAUGCGACGAGGUGUGUGGCAAGACCGACGAGGAGGAGGACAUUGCCGGCUCCGCCGAGGCCGCGCCCCGCUGCCACGACCACGAAGGCGACACGUUCAUGAAGGAAAUAUGCCCUAGAGGCAAUAAUAAAGUUAUUAUUUAUUUCCUUAUAAUCAUGAUAAAUGUUUAUUAUUCAUGCUAGAAUUGUAUUAACCGGAAACAUAAUACAUGUGUGAAUACAUAGACAAACAAAGUGUCACUAGUAUGCCUCUACUUGACUAGCUCGUUAAUCAAAGAUGGUUAUGUUUCCUAACCAUGAACAAUGAGUUGUUAUUUGAUUAACGAGGUAUCAUCAUUAGUUGAAUGAUCUGAUUGACAUGACCCAUUCCAUUAGCUUAGCACCCGAUCGUUUAGUAUGUUGCUAUUGCUUUCUUCAUAACUUAUACAUGUUCCUAUAACUAUGAGAUUAUGCAACUCCCGUUUGCCGGAGGAACACUUUGGGUGCUACCAAACGUCACAACGUAACUGGGUGAUUAUAAAGGAGCAUUACAGGUGUCUCCAAAGGUAGAUGUUGGGUUGGCGUAUUUCGAGAUUAGGUUUUGUCACUCCGAUUGUCGGAGAGGUAUCUCUGGGCCCUCUCGGUAAUGCACAUCACAUAAGCCUUGCAAGCAUUGCAACUAAUGAGUUAGUUACGGGAUGGUGUAUUACAGAAUGAGUAAAGAGACUUGCGGGUAACGAGAUUGAACUAGGUAUUGGAUACCGACGAUUGAAUCUCGGGCAAGUAACAUACCGAUGAUAAAGGGAACAACGUAUGUUGUUAUGUGGUCUGACCGAUAAAGAUCUUCGUAGAAUAUGUAGGAGCCAAUAUGGGCAUCCAGGUCCUGCUAUUGGUUAUUGACCGGAGACAUGUCUCGGUCAUGUCUACAUUGUUCUCGAACCCGUAGGGUCCGCACGCUUAAGGUUACGAUGACAGUUAUAUUAUGAGUUUAUGCAUUUUGAUGUACCGAAGGUUGUUCGGAGUCCCGGAUGUGACCAUGGACAUGACGAGGAGUCUCGAAAUGGUUGAGACGUAAAGAUUGAUAUAUUGGAAGCCUAUGUUUGGAUAUCGGAAGUGUUCCGGGUGAAAUCGGGAUUUUACCGGAGUACCGGGAAGGUUACCGGAACCCCUCGGGAGCUAAAUGGGCCAUGAUGGGCCUUAGUGGAAAAGAGAAGAGGCAGCCCUACAUGGGCUGCGCGCCUCCCCCUUCCCCCAGUCCUAUUAGGACUAGGAGAGGUGGUCGGCCCCCUCUCUCUCUUUUCCCCCUCCGUGAAUCCUAUUCCAACUAGGAUUGGGGGGGGGGGGGAAUCCUACUCCCAGAGGGAGUAGGACUCUCCUGGCGCACCCCUUGUGGCCGGCCAGCCUCCCCCCUUUGGUCCUUUAUAUACUGAGGUAGAGGCACCCUAGAACACACAAGUUGAUCCACGUGAUCUAUUCCUUAGCCGUGUGCGGUGCCCCCAGCCACCAUAGUCCUCGAUAAUACUGUAGCGGAGUUUAGGCGAAGCCCUGCUGCUGUAGUACAUCAAGAUCGUCACCACGCCGUCGUGCUGACGGAACUCUUCCCCGACACUUUGCUGGAUCGGAGUCCGGGGAUCGUCAUCGAGCUGAACAUGUGCUCGAACUCGGAGGUGCCGUAGUUUCGGUGCUUGCUCGGUUGGAUCGUGAAGAUGUACGACUACUUCCUCUAUGUUGCGUCAACGCUUCCGCAGUCGAUCUGCGUGGGUAUGUAGACAACACUCUCCCAUCUCGUUGCUAUGCAUCACAUGAUCUUGCGUGUGCGUAGGAAAUUUUUUGAAAUUACUACGAAACCCAACAGUGGCAUCCGAGCCUAGGUUAUUUAUGUUGAUGUUAUAUGCACGAGUAGAACACAAGUGAGUUGUGGGCGAUAUAAGUCAUACUGCCUACCAGCAUGUCAUACUUUGGUUUGGCGGCAUUGUUGGACGAGACGACCCGGACCAACAUUACGCGUACGCUUACGCGAGACCAGUUCCCCCGACGUGCUUUGCACAUAGGUGGCUUGCGGGCGACUGUCUCUCCAACUUUAGUUGAACCAAAGUAUGGCUACGCCCGGUCCUUGUGAAGGUUAAAACGGAGUCUAUUUGACAAACUAUCGUUGUGGUUUUGAUGCGUAGUUGAGAUUGGUUCUUGCUUAAGCCCGUAGCAGCCAUGUAAAACUUGCAACAACAAAGUAGAGGACGUCUAACUUGUUUUUGCAGGGCAUGUUGUGAUGUGAUAUGGUCAAGACAUGAUGCUGAAUUUUAUUGUAUGAGAUGAUCAUGUUUUGUAACCGAGUUAUCGGCAACUGGCAGGAGCCAUAUGGUUGUCGCUUUAUUGUAUGCAAUGAAAUCGCGAUGUAGUGCUUUACUUUAUUACUAAGCGGUAGUGAUAGUCAUGGAAGCAUAAGCUUGGCGAGACGACAACGGUGUUACGAUGGAGAUCAAGGUGUCACGACGGUGCUUCGGAGAUGGAGAUCACAAGCACAAGAUGAUGAUGGCCAUAUCAUAUCACUUAUAUUGAUUGCAUGUGAUGUUUAUCCUUUUAUGCAUCUUAUCUUGCUUUGAUUGACGGUAGCAUUAUAAGAUGAUCUCUCACUAAAUUAUCAAGAUGUGUUCUCCCUGAGUAUGCACCGUUGCGAAAGUUCUUCGUGCUGAGACACCACGUGAUGAUCGGGUGUGAUAGGUUCUACGUUCAAAUACAACGGGUGCAAAACAGUUGCACACGCGGAAUACUCAGGUUAUACUUGACAAGCCAAGCAUAUACAGAUAUGGCCUCGGAACACGGAGACCGAAAGGUCGAGCGUGAAUCAUAUAGUAGAUAUGAUCAACAUAACGAUGUUCACCAUUGAAAACUACUCCAUCUCACGUGAUGAUCGGUUAUGGUUUAGUUGAUUUGGAUCACGCAAUCACUUAGAGGAUUAGAGGGAUGUCUAUCUAAGUGGGAGUUCUUUAAACUUGAUUAAACUGAACUUAAAUUUAUCAUGAAACUUAGUACCUGAUUAGUAUCUUGCUUGUUUAUGUUUGAUUGUAGAUAGAUGGCUCGUGCUGUUGUUCCGUUGAAUUUUAAUGCGUUCCUUGAGAAAGCAAAGUUGAAAGAUGAUGGUAGCAAUUACACGGACUGGGUCCGUAACUUGAGGAUUAUCCUCAUUGCAGCACAGAAGAAUUAUGUCCUGGAAGCACCGCUGGGUGCCAGGCCUGCUGUAGGAGCAACGCCAGAUGUUAUGAACGUCUGGCAGAGCAAAGCUGAUGACUACUCGAUAGUUCAGUGUGCCAUGCUUUACGGCUUAGAAUCGGGACUUCAACGACGUUUUGAACGUCAUGGAGCAUAUGAGAUGUUUCAGGAGUUGAAGUUAAUAUUUCAAGCAAAUGCCCGGAUUGAGAGAUAUGAAGUCUCCAAUAAGUUCUAUAGCUGCAAGAUGGAGGAGAACAGUUCUGUCAGUGAGCAUAUACUCAAAAUGUCUGGGUAUAAUAAUCACUUGAUUCAAUUGGGAGUUAAUCUUCCAGAUGAUAGCGUCAUUGACAGAAUUCUUCAAUCACUGCCACCAAGCUACAAGAGCUUCGUGAUGAACUAUAAUAUGCAAGGGAUGAACAAGACUAUUCCCGAGCUCUUCGCGAUACUGAAAGUUGUGGAGGUAGAAAUCAAGAAGGAGCAUCAAGUGUUGAUGGUCAGCAAGACCACUAGUUUCAAGAAAAAGGGCAAAGGGAAGAAGAAGGGGAACUUCAAGAAGAACAGCAAACAAGUUGCUACUCAAGAGAAGAAACCCAAACCUGGACCUAAGCCUGAAACUGAGUGCUUCUAUUGCAAGCAGACUGGUCACUAGAAGCGGAACUGCCCCAAGUAUUUGGCGGAUAAGAAGGAUGGCAAGGUGAACAAAGGUAUAUGUGAUAUACAUGUUAUUGAUGUGUACCUUACUAAUGCUCGCAGUAGCACCUGGGUAUUUGAUACUAGUUCUGUUGCUAAUAUUUGCAACUCGAAACAGGGACUACGGAUCAAGCGAAGAUUGGUUAAGGACGAGGUGACGAUGCGCGUGGGAAACGGUUCCAAAGUCGAUGUGAUCGCAGUCGGCACGCUACCUCUACAUCUACCUUCGGGAUUAGUAUUAGACCUAAAUAAUUGUUAUUUGGUGCCAGCGUUAAGCAUGAACAUUAUAUCUGGAUCUUGUUUGAUGCGAGACGGUUAUUCAUUUAAAUCAGAGAAUAAUGGUUGUUCUAUUUAUAUGAGUAAUAUCUUUUAUGGUCAUGCACCCUUGAAGAGUGGUCUAUUCUUGUUGAAUCUCGAUAGUAGUAACACACAUAUUCAUAAUGUUGAAGCCAAAAGAUGCAGAGUUGAUAAUGAGAGUGCAACUUAUUUGUGGCACUGCCGUUUAGGUCAUAUCGGUGUAAAGCGCAUGAAGAAACUCCAUUCUGAUGGACUUCUGGAACCACUUGAUUAUGAAUCACUUGGUACUUGCGAACCGUGCCUCAUGGGCAAGAUGACCAAAACACCGUUCUUCGGUACUGUGGAGAGAGCAACAGAUUUGUUGGAAAUCAUACAUACAGAUGUAUGUGGUCCGAUGAAUAUUGAGGCUCGUGGCGGAUAUCGUUAUUUUCUCACCUUCACAGAUGAUUUAAGCAGAUAUGGGUAUAUCUACUUAAUGAAACAUAAGUCUAAAACAUUUGAAAAGUUCAAGGAAUUUCAGAGUGAAGUUGAAAAUCACCGUAACAAGAAAAUAAAGUUUCUACGAUCUGAUCGUGGAGGAGAAUAUUUGAGUUACGAGUUUGGUGUACAUUUGAAAAAUUGUGGAAUAGUUUCGCAACUCACGCCACCCGGAACACCACAGCGUAAUGGUGUGUCCGAACGUCGUAAUCGUACUUUACUAGAUAUGGUGCAAUCUAUGAUGUCUCUUACUGAUUUACCGCUAUCGUUUUGGGGAUACGCUCUAGAGACGGCCGCAUUCACAUUAAAUAGGGCACCAUCAAAAUCCGUUGAGACGACGCCUUAUGAACUGUGGUUUGGCAAGAAACCAAAGUUGUCAUUUCUGAAAGUUUGGGGAUGCGAUGCUUAUGUGAAAAAACUUCAACCUGAUAAGGUCGAACCCAAAUCGGAGAAAUGUGUCUUCAUAGGAUAUCCAAAGGAAACUAUUGGAUACACCUUUUAUCACAGAUCCGAAGGCAAGACUUUUGUUGCUAAAUUCGGAAACUUUCUAGAGAAGGAGUUUCUCUCGAAAGAAGUGAGUGGGAGGAAAGUAGAACUUGACGAGGUAACUGUACCUGCUCCCUUAUUGGAAAGUAGUACAUUACAGAAAACUAUUUCUGCGACACCUACACCAGUCAGUGAGGAAGCUAAUGAUGAUGAUCAUGAAACUUCAGAACAAGAUACUACUGAACCUCGUAGAUCAACCAGAGUAAGAUCCGCACCAGAGUGGUACGGUAAUCCUGUUCUGGAAGUCAUGUUAUUAGAUCAUGAUGAACCUACGAACUAUGAAGAAGCGAUGGUGAGCCCAGAUUCCGCAAAGUGGCUUGAAGCCAUGAAAUCUGAGAUGGGAUCCAUGUAUGAGAACAAAGUGUGGACUUUGGUUGACUUGCCUGAUGAUCGGCAAGCAAUUGAGAAUAAAUGGAUUUUCAAGAAGAAGUCUGACGCUGACGGUCAUGUUACUGUCUACAAAGCUCGACUUGUCGCAAAAGGUUUUCGGCAAGUUCAAGGGAUUGACUACGAUGAGACCUUCUCACCCGUAGCGAUGCUUAAGUCUGUCCGAAUCAUGUUAGCAAUUGCCGCAUUUUAUGAUUAUGAAAUUUGGCAGAUGGAUGUCAAAACUGCAUUCCUGAAUGGAUUUCUGGAAGAAGAGUUGUAUAUGAUGCAACCGGAAGGUUUUGUCGAUCCAAAGGGAGCUAACAAAGUGUGCAAGCUCCAGCGAUCCAUUUAUGGACUGGUGCAAGCCUCUCAGAGUUGGAAUAAACGUUUUGAUAGUGUGAUCAAAGCAUUUGGUUUUAUACAGACUUUCGGAGAAGCCUGUAUUUACAAGAAAGUGAGUGGGAGCUCUGUAGCAUUUCUGAUAUUAUAUGUGGAUGACAUAUUGUUAAUUGGAAAUAAUAUAGAAUUUCUGGAUAGCAUAAAGGGAUACUUGAAUAAGAGUUUUUCAAUGAAAGACCUCGGUGAAGCUGCUUACAUAUUAGGCAUAAAGAUCUAUAGAGAUAGAUCAAUACGCUUAAUUGGACUUUCACAAACAACAUACCUUGACAAAAUUUUGAAGAAGUUCAAAAUGGAUCAAGCAAAGAAAGGAUUCUUGCCUGUGUUACAAGGUGUGAAAUUGAGUAAGACUCAAUGACCGACCACUGCAGAAGAUAGAGAGAAUAUGAAAGAUGUUCCCUAUGCAUCAGCAAUAGGAUCUAUCAUGUAUGCAAUGCUAUGUACCAGACCUGAUGUGUGCCUUGCUAUAAGUCUAGCAGGGAGGUACCAAAGUAAUCCAGGAGUGGAUCACUGGACAGCGGUCAAGAACAUCCUGAAAUACCUGAAAAGGACUAAGGAUAUGCUUCUCGUAUAUGGAGGUGACAAAGAGCUCGUCGUAAAAGGUUACGUUGAUGCAAGCUUUGACACUGAUCCGGACGAUUCUAAAUCGCAAACUGGAUACGUGUUUACAUUAAACGGUGGAGCUGUCAGUUGGUGCAGUUCUAAACAAAGCGUCGUAGCGGGAUCUACAUGUGAAGCGGAGUACAUAGCUGCUUCAGAAGCAGCAAAUGAAGGAGUCUGGAUGAAGGAGUUCAUAUCCGAUCUAGGUGUCAUACCUAGUGCAUCGGGUCCAAUGAAAAUCUUUUGUGACAAUACUGGUGCAAUUGCCUUGGCAAAGGAAUCUAGAUUUCACAAGAGAACCAAGCACAUCAAGAGACGCUUCAAUUCCAUCCGGGAUCUAGUCCAGGUGGGAGACAUAGAGAUUUGCAAGAUACAUACGGAUCUGAAUGUUGCAGACCCAUUGACUAAGCCUCUUCCACGAGCAAAACAUGAUCAGCACCAAGGCUCCAUGGGUGUUAGAAUCAUUACAGUGUAAUCUAGAUUAUUGACUCUCGUGCAAGUGGGAGACUGAAGGAAAUAUGCCCUAGAGGCAAUAAUAAAGUUAUUAUUUAUUUCCUUAUAAUCAUCAUAAAUGUUUAUUAUUCAUGCUAGAAUUGUAUUAACCGGAAACAUAAUACAUGUGUGAAUACAUAGACAAACAAAGUGUCACUAGUAUGCCUCUACUUGACUAGCUCGUUAAUCAAAGAUGGUUCUGUUUCCUAACCAUGAACAAUGAGUUGUUAUUUGAUUAACGAGGUCACAUCAUUAGUUGAAUGAUCUGAUUGACAUGACCCAUUCCAUUAGCUUAGCACCCGAUCGUUUAGUAUGUUGCUAUUGCUUUCUUCAUAACUUAUACAUGUUCCUAUAACUAUGAGAUUAUGCAACUCCCGUUUGCCGGAGGAACACUUUGGGUGCUACCAAACGUCACAACGUAACUGGGUGAUUAUAAAGGAGCAUUACAGGUGUCUCCAAAGGUAGAUGUUGGGUUGGCGUAUUUCGAGAUUAGGUUUUGUCACUCCGAUUGUCGGAGAGGUAUCUCUGGGCCCUCUCGGUAAUGCACAUCACAUAAGCCUUGCAAGCAUUGCAACUAAUGAGUUAGUUGCGGGAUGAUGUAUUACAGAACGAGUAAAGAGACUUGCCGGUAACGAGAUUGAACUAGGUAUUGGAUACCGACGAUCGAAUCUCGGGCAAGUAACAUACCGAUGAUAAAGGGAACAACGUAUGUUGUUAUGCGGUCUGACUGAUAAAGAUCUUUGUAGAAUAUGUAGGAGCCAAUAUGGGCAUCCAGGUCCCGCUAUUGGUUAUUGACCGGAGACAUGUCUCGGUCAUGUCUACAUUGUUCUCGAACCCGUAGGGUCCGCACGCUUAAGGUUACGAUGACAGUUAUAUUAUGAGUUUAUGCAUUUUGAUGUACCGAAGGUUGUUCGGAGUCCCGGAUGUGAUCACGGACAUGACGAGGAGUCUCGAAAUGGUCGAGACGUAAAGAUUGAUAUAUUGGAAGCCUAUGUUUGGAUAUCGGAAGUGUUCCGGGUGAAAUCGGGAUUUUACCGGAGUACCGGGAAGGUUACCGGAACCCCCCGGGAGCUAAAUGGGCCAUGAUGGGCCUUAGUGGAAAAGAGAAGAGGCAGCCCUACAUGGGCUGCGUGCCUCCCCCUUCCCCUAGUCCUAUUAGGACUAGGAGAGGUGGCCGGCCCCCUCUCUCUCUUUUCCCCCUCCGCGAAUCCUAUUCCAACUAGGAUUGGGGGGGAAUCCUACUCCCAGAGGGAGUAGGACUCUCCUGGCGCACCCCUUGUGGCCGGCCAGCCUCCCCCCCUUUGGUCCUUUAUAUACUAAGGUAGAGGCACCCUAGAACACAUAAGUUUAUCCACGUGAUCUAUUCCUUAGCCGUGUGCGGUGCCCCCGGCCACCAUAGUCCUCGAUAAUACUGUAGCGGAGUUUAGGCGAAGCCCUGCUGCUGUAGUACAUCAAGAUCGUCACCACGCCGUCGUGCUGACGGAACUCUUCCCCGACACUUUGCUGGAUCGGAGUCCGGGGAUCGUCAUCGAGCUGAACGUGUGCUCGAACUCGGAGGUGCCGUAGUUUCGGUGCUUGCUCAGUUGGAUCAUGAAGACGUACGACUACUUCCUCUAUGUUGCGUCAACGCUUCCGCAGUCGGUCUGCGUGGGUACGUAGACAACACUCUCUCGUCUCGUUGCUAUGCAUCACAUGAUCUUGCGUGUGCGUAGGAAAUUUUUUGAAAUUACUACGAAACCCAACAGUUCGCGGGCGCCGCCGGCAUCGAGCAAGAGCAGUGCAUGCUAGGUAGCCGCCGCUCGCGUCCCAGGAAGGCCGCCGCUCUUCCCCUCCACCUGAAUCCAAGAUGGAGGGUUGAUAAUCGGUGGCCGAUUAAUCGUUCAAGCUGCGGUGGUGGAGGUUGCGGAGGCAGAGCUAGAGAGCGCAGAGGCGGAACUAGAGAAGGCGAAGUCAAGUGCUGGAGCUUUAGUUCUUGGGGCUCAUGACCGAACACGGGGAACGGGCACCACUGAUCAUUUAGAUUAGGUUUAGAAUAGAAGUAUGUCCAAAAUUAUACCUCAGAGUCGGACGAGCUCCGCUUUUAGUUAAAAUAUGUCUGAAUGUAAUGAAUUUCAUCAUGUUUGCAUGAAAUCCGCUGUGUUUGAUUGAAUCUCUUCCGGUUUAUAUCAAAAUUCACUUGGUUUGCAUGAAUUCCAUUUAGUUCAAAAUGUGGUUGAACUUUAUGCGGGUGGCGUUGGAUGACGGCCUCCGGCAUCAGUGCCUGCGGACUGAUCCUCUUGUUCUCGGACAGAUGUAGGAGCAAAUUUGCGGGUUAGCAUUGGAGAUGGGACAACAUUGUAGUACAUGCGAGCGGGCGGAGGCACAGGAGGUGGAUGUGGCAGACGUGGUGGUCGGGCUACAGGAACCGGACGAAUGAAACGUACACACAUGGACAUGAAAUUCCGGACCCGAAAGUGCUUGGCAAUGGUGGAUGGCGUGAAGGCUUUGCCUGAGGUGGAAGACUUAACAUUGUUGUUGAGCGGCUGGUUAGCAACGCUAACCCCCGUGGUGGUCUGGAUUCAAAUGGGGAAGAAUAAGAUGAGGAAUAGGAGAACACACUAAAGAAACCGACCUGAUAACGGAAGAGGAGAACACACUAGUUCAAGCACCUGCCUGUCUGUAGUAACCAUCCAUGUCACCUCUAGACAGUAGUAAAAGCACCCUUCACAAUGGUCUGUCUUUUAUGGUAAUUGUAGCACCUUAAAUUAUGAAUUUAACUGAAAUUACUCCAAUUUUAUCCAUCUCCAGCCGGCCGGGCACAAACGCAGUGCACAGUCAGUGGAUGAACAAUACAUACGCGAAGCAGAUGGAUCAUGAUCUGGUCGAUUCAUCGGGAAAAUAACGCACAACAUGCAAAGCUUGCUUGAUGCCACACCAUGCAGCCCCACUCUAGCACCUGCUGCUCGAUCGGCAUGCGUGCAUCAAGCAGUGCGGUUCUCGCGGAGGAGAUGGUGACAGAGAAAAGCAAAAAAAAAUCGCGGGAUUGGAUUUUUGGAGCACGAGAUAUGAUGGUUUGACAGAGGAAAUACCAAAUUACCGACACCCUAGCGUACAAUGGGAGAAAGGCUGUUGAUACUAGCGAUUUUUUUGGGCUAUCGGCUGCCUACUCUCUCCUCCUUCUCUCUCCUUCACCUAGAUUAGUUCCUUAUGUGGUAUAGCUUAUAGACGGCUAACAAAGCACUAUUGUACAUGCCCUAAAAGAAACUGACCCGACGUUAUUUGGGAAGUGAUCUGCGCCGGUCAACCGGCCCAAUGCUUCCACCGGUCGCUGGAACAUCGUCCGAUUGGACAAUGCUUAGCCGUCAGAUCCCCUCCCCCGAGUCAACUCUCUUCUUUCUCAUAUCGUUCUCACACCCUAACCACCAAAUCCACGCCGGCACCAGUAGCCCUCGCCGGAACCACCAGCGUGCACGUCUCUGGGUCGCGCCCACGCACCUUCUGCCAUGUGCGCGCCCUGCUGCCCCCAUUCGCAGCUCCAGUUCAUGUCCCACUAGAAUGCAACUUCUUUCCUUGAUGGUUGAAGCUUUUCCCCCUAAGGUUGAAGCUUUUUCCUUGAGGUUGUAGCAUCCGCGCGCCGGUUUCACCGUGAAUCACGUCGGCUCCAGCAUCCGCGUCCCAGGUCGCUGCUCCCCGUCGAUGCAGCACGCGAUCACCGCGGUGGUAGCAAAAAAGCGUAUCGGUUGUAGCAAUCCUGGUAGCCGUGGUUACCCCAUGUUGUCGCUCGUCACACCAUCGCACUCCGGUUGCACCACCACACGCCAAUUGCAGCAAAAAUUGAUCACUGGUGGUAGCUUUCCCACAGCCGUUUGCAACAAAUUUGCAGCCCAUCGUCACUGGCGACACUUCAUCGCCUCCUGGUUGUAGCGAAAGCAGGUGCCGGUGGUAGCUUUUCGGUUAUCUGUUGCAGCAAAAAAUGUGUGUCGUCAUCGCCGGCAAUGCUCGUCGUCACCUGGUUGUAGCAAACCCGAGCGCCGGUUGUAGCUUUCCCUGUGCCAGUUGAAGCUAAUCACAAAGCCAGUUGCAGCUUCAGCACCAGUGGCAAUCACCUUUAGUUCUUGCCGAUUGUAGAAACGUAUGACCUCGCCAAGGAGAUGCACGGCCAUGGCUUCCCUAGGUUGUAAGCAACCGAUGGCCUCCCUUUGCAAACACCUUUCUCUCAUCUGGAAAACAAAACGUAGGAAAAGGGCUCGCAGAAGCUCGCUGGCGGCGUAGGAGAAGGAUACAGCCGCAACGGGGGAGGCAGAUGGGAGAGCGGCGCGUCUGGAGGAAGGAGAGGGAGGGAGAUGGGAUCUGAACGAGUGGUCGAGAGAGAUCUGAACGGAGGAAGAGAUGUGGAUGGGACCGGCCUUGUAUGACAUGGCCACGUCGGGAACCAACAGGGGACGAUGGAUCUGGAUGAUAGUGCGACUCGCGCGUGACUGGCCCAAGCUUCGGCCGGUCCGCCGGUCACAAACGUUUCCCAUGUUAUUUUCUAUUACCCAAAGGUUGUUGUCCUGUUGGAGCAAGGGAGAGACCUCUGUGCGAAAGAAAGAAGAACAAUAAGGGCAUCUCCAGCCGCGCCCCCAACAGGCCCCCCAGGCCACUUUUUUUAUGUCAGCGCCGGAAAAAAAAUCCUAGUCGCGCCUCAAGAUGCUAAAAUCUGCCAGCUCGGCCUAUUUUUGGGCCCGACGAUUCCAGGCCGAACCCAGCGCACUAGGGGGCGCUUGGGGGCUCCGGUGUAAGGGAAAAACUGCGUCUGGCCCACACUGUCAGGAGAAAAGUUAGCCAGCACGUUCAGAUUCGCCCCUCCCCCCCCCCCGCGCGUGCACGUCCUCUCGCUGCCUUGCCGAUCCCGGUGCCGUCUCGCCGCCCACCACCGCUAUAUAGGCCAUUCCCCGCCAGAAAAAGGGAGAGGGUUUCACCGCGGCAACUUCUCCACCACCUUCCUGGGCGAGUUUUCCGGCGCUCCGGCCGCGCAGGGCGGGAUACCGGCGGUUGUGCCCACCACGCCCGCCAGGUGUUUGACUAUUUGUUUGUUCGGUGAUGGAAUCGAACGACGAGGAGGCACUCACGGCGCCGGUGGAGGAGUGUAGGAUCGAAAGUAUGUCUAGAGGGGGGGUGAUUAGACUACUUGACCAAAUAAAAACUUAACCUUUUCCCAAUUUUAGUUCUUGGCAGAUUUUAGCUAUUUUAGGACAAGUCAAGCAAUCAUCACACAAUUCAAGCAAGCAUGCAAAGAGUAUAUUGGCAGCGGAAAGUAAAGCAUGCAACUUGCAAGAAUGUAAAGGGAAGGGUUUGGAGAAUUCAAACGCAAUUGGAGACACGGAUGUUUUUCCCGUGGUUCGGAUAGGUGGUGCUAUCCUACAUCCACAUUGAUGGAGACUUCAACCCACGAAGGGUAACGGUUGCGCGAGUCCACACAGGCUCCACCCAAGGGCAACGGUUGCGAGAGUCCACACAGGGCUCCACCCACGAAGGGUCCACGAAGAAGCAACCACCCACAAAGGGUCCACGAAGAAGCAACCUUGUCUAUCCCACCAUGGCCAUCGCCCACAAAGGACUUGCCUCACUAGCGGUAGAUCUUCACGAAGUAGGCGAUCUCCUUGCCCUUACAAACUCCUUGGUUCAACUCCACAAUCUUGUCGGAGGCUCCCAAGUGACACCUAGCCAAUCUAGGAGACGCCACUCUCCAAGAAGUAACAAAUGGUGUGUAGGUAAUGAACUCCUUGCUCUUGUGCUUCAAAUGAUAGUCUCCCCAACACUCAACUCUCUCUCAUAGGAUUUGGAUUUGGUGGAAAGAAGAUUUGAGUGGAAAGCAACUUGGGAAGGCUAGAGAUCAAGAUUCAUAUGGUAGGAAUGGAAUAUCUUGGUCUCAACACAUGAGUAGGUGGUUCUCUCUCAGAACAUAUGAGUUGGAAUGGUGUGUGUGUUCUGAUGGCUCUCUCUUCGAAUGAGAAGGAGGUGGAGGGGUAUAUAUAGCCUCCACACAAAAUCCAACCGUUAUACAGUUUUCCAAUCUCGGUGGGACCGAAUCAAUAAACUCCGUCGGACCAAAAAUGUAAACCUAGUGACCGUUAGUGAUUUCGGUGGGACCGACAUGCAACUCGGUAGGACCGAUUCGGUUAGGGUUUGGGCAUAACGUAAUCUUGGUGAGACCGAUUACACAAACUCGGUGAGACCGAAUUUGGUAACUAGCUAACCAGAGAGUUGGUCAGGCAAACUCGGUGGGACCGAUUUGCUCUUUCGGUGAGACCGAGUGGAACUCGGUGAGACCGAAAAGUUACAAAGGGGAAACACUGAGUUUACAUUGCAAUCUCGGUGGGGCCGAUUCGCUCUUUCGGUGGGACCGAAAAGUUACGAAAGGGAAACAGAGAGUUUGCAACCCCAUCUCGGUGAGACCGAAAUCCCUAUCGGUAGGACCGGAUUGCUAGGGUUUGGCAGUGGCUAAUGACAAGUGAAACUCGGUGGCACCGGAUAGGAAGAAUCAGUAGGACCGAGUUUGGCUUAUGGUUUAGGUCAUAUGUGGAUAUGGGAAAGUAGUUGAGGGUUUUGGAGCAUAUCACUAAGCACAUGAAGCAAGAGGCUCAUUAAGCAACACCUCAUCCCUCCUUAAUAGUAUUGGCUUUUCCUAAAGACUCAAUGUGAUCUUGGAUCACUAAAAUAUGAAAUGAAGAGUCUUGAGCUUUUGAGCUUGAGCCAAUCCUUUGUCCUUAGCAUUUUGAGGGUUCCACUUUCACAUCCAUGCCAUGCCAAUCAUUGAGCUUUCCUGAAACAAUCAUCUUGAAAUAGCAUUAGCUCAAUGAGCUAUAUGUUGUUAUGAAUUACCAAAACCACCUAGGGAUAGUUGCACUUUCAAUCUCCCCCUUUUUGGUAAUUGAUGACAACAUAUAGAUCAAAGCUUCGACAAAAGAUAAUAAUCAUGAAAUUUAUCGUCGCUUUGAGAAGUAUGUGAUAAGUAAGAGCUCCCCCUAAAUUUGUGCAUAUUUAAAAUUUGCUUUUGGACUGCAAAUGCACAAAGAAGUUAGAAUUAUGGGUUACUCUUCCAUGUCACAUACAUCUUGGUGGAGCGCUCAAAAAUGAUAAGAAUGAAAUACAUGCACUCAUCACCAAGAACAAUGAAUGAUCACAAACGAUAGAUAGAAUGAUAAUAUUUAAGCAAGCAUUAAGCAAACAUUAAGUGUAGCUUAUGAUCAAACACAUGAUCGUCAAUGUCUCACAAAUAAUAACGUAGUAUCUCAAGCACUCAAAAGCAAACAAGUUUGAAAAACCACCAAAUAAAGCAAGAGAGAAAAGCAACACUCUCUCUCUCUCUCGAAGCCUAUGAUCUAUACAUCUUCUCCCCCUUUGGCAACAAGUUACCAAAAAGUUCCUAGAAAAUGCAUAGCACUAGAUCGACGCUCAGGCUUGAUCUUUAGGUGGUGGUGGAGUCCGGAUCACUCCAAGGACGAAGGCUUCGAUAGAUGCUGAAGUAGUCGCUGGAGUUGGAGCUGAAGUAGAUGCUGGAGCUGGUGGAGUUGAGGCUGUAGCUGGUGCUGAAGUGGUGGCUCUGGUGUCAGCAACUGGCACGGCAGAUGACCUCAGGCCUCGUGGCACUCUGGCAAAGGUAUGAGUGGUAGUCCUGCCUCUCCUCUCCUGCAUGUCCUCCUGGAGCUGCUCCACUGCAGACUGAACUUCUGUUACCUUGACAUCCAAGUCAUAGAACUUCUGUUCCAUGAUCGUCUCUAGGCUCUGCUGAUUCUGAGUGAGAGUGGCCAGACUUUGCUCAAUCCUUAGCGUGGAUGCAAUCAAGUAACCGAGCUGCUCUUGUUUGGUCUUCAAGAAGUAUUCAGAUGCCUCCUCUUUGGUAGGCAUCUUGGCAGCUUUCUCCUUCCUUGCCUUCUCCUUCUUUGCAAAUGCUUGGGCAGAUGAUGGCUCGUUCUCAGUCAUGACAACUUCAUUGUCCUCAAAAUCUGGACGGAUGGGCAGGUGUUCUUUGUCCAACAGAUAUAUGCCCGUGCCCAUUUUGGAGUUGAUGAGCUCCUGAAUUUGAGGGGCAUAUCCGUAGCUCCUCUUUUGAUCUGCUGCAGUCCUCUUAAUCGUUUCCACUAUGAGGAUCAUCACCUUGAACUUCUGAGGCACAUCAAACACAUGUAGCAAGUUGAUAGCAUGGCCUCUGAUCAUCUUGUGAUCUCCAGACUUAGGCAAUAAGGUGUGCCUUAGUAUCCAAUUGAUCGUCGGGAGCCCUGACAGAAGGUAAUGUACUGAGCCAAACUUGAAGGUAUCAAGUGCUUCAUUGGGAAUUUCCUUGUACAUAUUGGACAUGGAGUUAUGGUCCAUCUUCUUCUUGGCAUAGAUAUCCAAGUCAUCAUCUUGCUCCUCUAGGGCAUUUAUGAUCUGUGCCCACUCAGCCACUGUAGAUUGGUACCUUGUACCCUCAGACAUCCAUGUGAUCCUCCCAUCUGGAUAAAAGUGAGCUGUGGAGUAGAACUGCAUGAUGAGUUCUUCGUUCCACUUUGUGAGCUUCUGCCCAACAAAGUCAGCUACUCCACAAGCUAUGAAGCUGUCUUGCACUCCAGGAUAGUGCUCCUUGUUGUCCUUGAUGUAUGUCCAAUCAACCCAACGCAUAUCACAGACAAUGGGCUUCUUAUCUAACAGCAUAGUCUCAUAGAAAUCCUGCUGCUCCUUGGUGUGAAACUUGUAGUCCACGGCAUUCCUUCUCCUUGAAGCAUAUGGGUCUGCUUCUCUCCAUUUCCUCAGCCCUGAAUCUCUUCUGAGCUUCAUGUCCUCAGCCACAGGAUGAGCAUCGUUGUGGUCUGGGAUCUUGGGCUUUAGCUUCCUUAGGACAUUUUCCUCUUCUUCUUCAGCAACAGUCUCAGGCACUGGGGCCUUGUUCUUUUCAGCUGCAGGGAUGCUCCGUGUAUUCCUCUUGGGCUUUGGAGCUGACUUGGCUUUGGAAGCAGCUCCCCCUGAUUUUAUGGCAUCUCCCAUAAGCUUGGGUGCCUUGGGCGUUGGUGCAGCUGCCUCCUCUUCUUCUUCCUCCUCUUCCAUGAUGGAAGCUUUGCCAAGUACCCUAGCCACAGUCUUCUUCACCCUCUCCUUCCUUUUCUUGCCCUCAGCUGCAACUGGCUCUUGGGGAGUGGGCUUCUCAGUUGAGGCUCUAGCCUUUGACAUGGGCUGCCUGCCUGCUGGCCUUUUGAUUUUUAGACCUGGCUUAGUGCCUUGAGCUGGCUCAAUUCUCUUGGAAGUGGCCUCUUCCUCUGCCACAUAGUCCUCAUCUUCAGAAUCUGAGGUUUUCUUCUUCCUUUGCCUAGUGGCAGCUUUAGGCAGGUUGCUGGGUAUGCUCCUGCUGCCAUCAUCUGAGGAACUUGAGGGACUAGUGCCCUCACUCAUCACUACUUGCUGCUCUGACAUAUUUUGGCUAUCACUUUGAUCAGACAUGCUGCAACUGACUGCUGACCCUGUGAAUAGAUUAUAGAUGAGGUAGAAAGGAUGAGCAUCACAAAAUGCAGAGAUUUUUGCAAAAGAAUAAUUCAAAAACCUAGUUUUAGUUUCCCACUGAAAUCAUCUUGGAUCUACCGACUUUCAAACUCGGUGAUACCAAAGCAGUUUUGGAACCUAAACUAGUGAACUCGGUAGGACCGAGUCACAGUUUGGUGGCACCGAGACUGCUAGGGUUUCACUGAGUUCAAAAAUCGGUCACACCGAUAAGUAAUUCUCGGUCAGACCGAGUCUCACUUGUGCAAUGGCAUAAGCCAAAUCGGUGGGACCGAGUUUUUCAACUCGGUGGGUCCGAGAUGGUUUCGGCGGAGACCUAAACCUAGAAUUUUCGAAUCAAACCUAAUCUAUGAGCGUUUUGACUGGAUAGGAGUUUAUCAAACGUGGCUAGAAACAAUAUGAUCACAAUGUGCUAGGAAUCAGAUUGAGGAAUAGCACAAAGAUCAAGUCCAUACCCUAGUUCGGCGGGGACUUGCUACGGCGGCAACGGCGGGGCAGAAAUCCUGUUGACGGCGACGGAGACCAGCGACUGGAGGCUGCUGGCGGCGAGAAGACGAUUCGGAGACCUCGAGGGCAGAGCAGGCUAUCGCGCGGGCGAAGGGGUUCGGAGAAAUUUCCAAAUUUUGCCCAUGACUAUAUAUAGCCUGACCCUGUCGGUGUGACCGAGUGGAACAACUCGGUGGCACCGAGAUUCAUAAAUGCAAGCAGUUACUGAAACUCGGUGUGACCGAAAGGUUCAAAUCAGUUGCACCGAGAUCGAAAACCUAGAUCAACUUAAUGAUCUCGGUAGGACCGAAAGUGGAGUAUCGGUCAGACCGAGAAUCAUGAAGAGGUUUUGGAAGUUUAAGUCUAUGACGAAUCGGGGACUCCGAGCGCUCCUCACACAGAGUGGUUCGAAUCUGACUUGAUCAAAUUUUGUGAUGCAGCAUGAAUAGAGUUUGAGACGAGAAAAGCAUAGAUAGCUAGAGGAGGUUCUUAGGCAUUCUUGUCCAUCCACUUGGCAAAAGAAGAUAAAACCAAACAAUCAAAACAACAAGUGGAUGUCCUCGAAUGAGUAAAAUAUGCAACCAGCAUGCUCACACAAUAAGAUGGCAAAUGAAAUAUGUGGCAAGGCAUGCACAACCAAUUCUAGCAUCUAUCAAGCAAUUUGCGAUGACUAGGUCAUCUAUAUAUGAGUAUAUUGACUUAGGAGUCAAGUGAGAACACUUGAUCAUAGGUCAUACUCAUCAUUUAAGCUCAAGUGGGGUUACCACUUUUACAUAAAGCAUUGUUGUGUUCACAUCUUUAGAGUUGCUUUAGCUCAAGUCUUAGAGUAAAGCUCCCCCUAGAUGUGAUAUCCCCCCUAAGAGGGAUGAACUAACCUUGGGUUUUGUCGAUGAUGACUUCAUGUAGAUGUUGAAGAUGUGGAUGCUCAAUGUUGAUGUAGAUCACUUGGAGCUAUCCAUUUGAGUGAAUUGCACUUUCAAUACCUACAUGGGUUAGUCCCACAAGGAACAAGCAAGGAUAUCCAUAGACAUAGAGUGAUGCACACAAAAGAUGAUGUCCAUGAAAACUUUUAGGUUACCUUGUCCCUUGUCUUACCAACAAGAGGGUUUGUGACUCCUUGAACUAGUGCAAGAUGUGGAAGUUGAUUGCACUUGUUCUUGCCAAAAUGAUAAGAGUGAAGUAUGUUGGCGGAGUCACCCUCAAGAACUCUCUAGUUCUUCUUCUUUUGGAUCCACAUCAUCUUGAUGGGAAUCCUUGGAGUUGUAGUCAUACUUGAUGAAGUGGAACUUGAAGUAGUCUUGGGAAUCCACUUGACUAAGGUCUUAGGAGCUUCUUCAAAUGCAUCAAUUUCCUCUUGAAGCUUGUCCUUGCCUUUUUGCUCGUAGUUUUGUGGUGGAAGAUCAUCUUGAGCUUGUGUCCCCUUGAAAGAAGUAUACUUCUCUUGUUAAGGGACAAACUUUGUCUUGGGGUAUUGAUCUUCUUCCCAUUCAAUUCCAUUGGCAUUGAACUUUCAUUCAAAACCAACACCUUGAUUCUUCGGUGCAUUCCUUGCUUACGCACAAUUUCCUCGAAUUGCUUACUCCCGGCAAGGCUUUUGUACACUCCUUUCUCUAUAAUUCCCUUCAAUAAGCUAUUUUCUUGCUCAAGUGUAACUUGGCUAAGAGAAUCAUUAGUGGAAUCAAGAGAACUACUAGAAGCAACAAUAUUGAAUUUAGCAUAAUCAUUGUUACUACUAGAGGAAGGAUCUUUCUUGUUAGACUUGACUUGAGGCAUGUAAGUGGAUAAGAGUAAACGCUUGGCAAUGUAAGAAGAACUUUUCUUGCGGAGAUCAUCAUUGAUUGCCUUUAAAAACUCAUGCUCUUGCUCAAGAUUGAGCUUUUCAAAGCGUAGUUUCUCAUGAGCCCUUAAAAGUUCUCGAUGAUCUUCGAAGAUAGUGUCAUGAGCUAACUUAAGAGUUUUUAGUUCUUUAGUUAGAGCCUCAAUCUUCUCCUUAUCAUUGUCAUUCGUUUUAUCUUGAUUAGCAUGAUUAAUUGGUCUUUCAUCAUAGUAUUCAUCACUAGAGUUGUCACCAAGCAAAUCAUCACCUAACAAGUCAUCUUCAUCACUAUUGAAAUCAACAUACUCGGGGUGUGUUACCUUAGGACCUUUGGCCAUGAAGCAUCUUCCAAUUCCUUCAUUUGGUGAGUCAAAUAUGUUGUAGGAGUUGGUUGACACAAGUGCUAGACCGGCAACACCUUCAUCUUGAGUAUCUUCGAAGUCGGAGUGAUAACUUCUCUCGGAGUGGCUGUCGGAGUCGGAUACCCAUUCACCAACAUGAGCUUGAUGUCUUCGUCUUGUGUAGCUCCUUGAUGAUUUUUCCUUCCUUUCUGAAUCCUUGCUUCUCCGUGAGUAUCUUCGUUCAUAACGAUCAUCUCUACUCCUUCUCUCUCUUGGUGGUGAUCCUUUGCUUCUUCUUUUUGGAGAAUCUUCUCUUCUCUUGUAGGGAGCCGUACACUCAUUGGAAUAGUGUCUGGGUCUUCCACAAUUGUAACAGUUUCGCUCUCGACUAGAAGAUCUUUUGUCAUUGUAGGACCUUGACUUGGAGUUUCUAUCUUUGCUUCUACUCUUGUAGAACUUGUUUAAGUUCUUCACCAUUAAGCUCAAUUCUUCAUUGAAGUCUUGUUUCUCACUUGAUGAUGUAGGGGCUUCACAUGAGGCUUUAUAGGCACCACUUGAUUUGUUGUGAAGUUCCUCUUUAUCCUUAAGUGACAUCUCAUGAGCAACAAUUCUUCCAAUCACCUCCGUUGGCUUGAGAUCUUUGUAAUUGGGCAUCAUUUGGAUUAAUGUGCACACGGUAUCAUAUUUUCCAUCCAAGGCUCUUAGAAUCUUCUUGAUGAUGAAUCUAUCGGUCAUCUCUUCACUUCCUAAGCCGGCAAUCUCAUUUGUGAUGAGAGCAAGCCUAGAGUACAUUUCAGCGACACCUUCACCAUCCUUCAUCUUGAACUUGUUGAGUUGGCUUUGAAGCACAUCCAAUUUGGAUUCCUUGACGGAGUCGGUACCUUCGUGCAUAUCAAUCAAAGUGUCCCAAAUUUCCUUUGCAUUCUCAAGACGGCUGAUUUUGUUGAAUUCUUCGGGGCACAAUCCGUUGAAGAGAAUAUCACAAGCUUGAGCAUUGUAUUGCAACAUCUUCAACUCAUCCGCGGUAGCUUCACGGUUUGGUUCUCUUCCAUCAAAGAAGUCACCUUGCAAACCAACACACACAAUAGCCCAAACGGCGGGGUUAUGUCCAAGAAUAUGCAUUUUCAUUUUAUGCUUCCAACUAGCAAAAUUAGUACCAUCAAAGUAAGGACCUCUACGGUGAUAAUUUCCCUCGCUAGACGCCAUACUCUCCUAGGUUGUGAAACCAAGGCUAUGACCACCAAAAGCUAUGGAGAUCAAGCAAAUGGAGACCAAAGCUCUGAUACCACUUGUAGGAUCGAAAGUAUGUCUAGAGGGGGGUGAUUAGACUACUUGACCAAAUAAAAACUUAACCUUUUCCCAAUUUUAGUUCUUGGCAGAUUUUAGCUAUUUUAGGACAAGUCAAGCAAUCAUCACACAAUUCAAGCAAGCAUGCAAAGAGUAUAUUGGCAGCGAAAAGUAAAGCAUGCAACUUGAAAGAAUGUAAAGGGAAGGGUUUGGAGAAUUCAAGCGCAAUUGGAGACACGGAUGUUUUUCCCGUGGUUCGGAUAGGUGGUGCUAUCCUACAUCCACGUUGAUGGAGACUUCAACCCACGAAGGGUAACGGUUGCGCGAGUCCACACAGGGCUCCACCCAAGGGCAACGGUUGCGCGAGUCCACACAGGGCUCCACCCACGAAGGGUCCACGAAGAAGCAACCACCCACAAAGGGUCCACGAAGAAGCAACCUUGUCUAUCCCACCAUGGCCAUCGCCCACGAAGGACUUGCCUCACUAGCGGUAGAUCUUCACGGAGUAGGCGAUCUCCUUGCCCUUACAAACUCCUUGGUUCAACUCCACAAUCUUGUCGGAGGCUCCCAAGUGACACCUAGCCAAUCUAGGAGACACCACUCUCCAAGAAGUAACAAAUGGUGUGUAGGUAAUGAACUCCUUGCUCUUGUGCUUCAAAUGAUAGUCUCCCCAACACUCAACUCUCUCUCAUAGGAUUUGGAUUUGGUGGAAAGAAGAUUUGAGUGGAAAGCAACUUGGGAAGGCUAGAGAUCAAGAUUCAUAUGGUAGGAAUGGAAUAUCUUGGUCUCAACACAUGAGUAGGUGGUUCUCUCUCAGAACAUAUGAGUUGAAAUGGUGUGUGUGUUCUGAUGGCUCUCUCUUUGAUGAGAAGGAGGUGGAGGGGUAUAUAUAGCCUCCACACAAAAUCCAACCGUUACACAGUUUUCCAAUCUCGGUGGGACCGAACCAAUAAACUCGGUCGGACCGAAAAUGUAAACCUAGUGACCGUUAGUGAUUUCGGUGGGACCGACAUGCAACUCGGUAGGACCGAUUCGGUUAGGGUUUGGGCAUAACGUAAUCUCGGUGAGACCGAUUACACAAACUCGGUGAGACCGAAUUUGGUAACUAGCUAACCAGAGAGUUGGUCAGGCAAACUCGGUGGGACCGAUUUGCUCUUUCGGUGAGACCGAGUGGAACUCGGUGAGACCGAAAAGUUACAAAGGGGAAACACUGAGUUUACAUUGCAAUCUCGGUGGGACCGAUUCGCUCUUUCGGUGGGACCGAAAAGUUAGGAAAGGGAAACAGAGAGUUUGCAACCCCAUCUCGGUGAGACCGAGAUCCCUAUCGGUAGGACCGGAUUGCUAGGGUUUGGCAGUGGCUAAUGACAAGUGAAACUCGGUGGCGCCGGAUAGGAAGAAUCGGUAGGACCGAGUUUGGCUUAGGGUUUAGGUCAUAUGUGGAUAUGGGAAAGUAGUUGAGGGUUUUGGAGCAUAUCACUAAGCACAUGAAGCAAGAGGCUCAUUAAGCAACACCUCAUCCCUCCUUAAUAGUAUUGGCUUUUCCUAAAGACUCAAUGUGAUCUUGGAUCACUAAAAUAUGAAAUGAAGAGUCUUGAGCUUUUGAGCUUAAGCCAAUCCUUUGUCCUUAGCAUUUUGAGGGUUCCACUUUCACAUCCAUGCCAUGCCAAUCAUUGAGCUUUCCUGAAACAAUCAUCUUGAAAUAGCAUUAGCUCAAUGAGCUAUAUGUUGUUAUGAAUUACCAAAACCACCUAGGGAUAGUUGCACUUUCAAGGAGGAAGCUGAUGCCGAUGUCUAGGACGAAGAGCAUCUGAUGGUCCUCGCCGCCUUGGCCGGCCUGCUCGCGAGCAAUGCAAAGUCGCGGCGAGGUGGCUCGACACCGGGGCGGAUGAACGCAAAGAACCGACAUCGACUGGAAGGCUAUUGCAUGCUCCACUCCAACUACUUCGCCGACGCUCCACUACACGGGGACAAAGUAUUUCGGUACCGUUAUCGGAUGAUCCAAAAGCUUUUCCUCGGGAUUGUGAAUUCCAUCUGGGAGUUUGACAGCUACUUCAAGUGCAAGAAGAAUUGCAUCGGCAAACUUGGAUUCACGUCAAUCCAGAAGUGCACGAUAGCUAUGAGGAUGCUUGCAUAUGGAGCUCCCGAUGAUUCACUCGACGACUAUGAGCGCAUGGCCGAGUCCACGGCCAUUGAGUGUUUCUACAAGUUUUGCAGGGCAGUGGUGGCAGUGUUUGGACCGCAAUACUUGCGAUCACCCAAUGCCGAAGACACUGCUCGGAUUCUAGCACAGAAUGCAGCAAGAGGAUUUCCUAGGAUGCUUGGAAGCAUCGACUGCAUGCGUUGGAAAUGAAAAAACUGUCCCUUUGCUUAGCAGGGGAUGUACAAAGACGCCAAAGGUGGUUGCAGUGUGGUACUUCAGGCAGUGGCCACAUAGGACCUAUGGAUUUGGCACUCCUUCUUUGGUAUGCCAGGAACUCACAAUGACAUCAACAUGCUGCAGUGCUCCCCUAUCUUUGCCAAGCUUGUUGAAGAUCAUUCUCCUCCGGUGAACUUCGAGGUCAAUGGGCGGCACUACAACAAAGGAUACUACCUAGCAGAUGGCAUCUAUCCGAGAUGGUCUACAUUUGUGAAGACUAUCUCAAACCCUUUGCCAUGAGGCAAGAACUCCCACUUUACGAAGGUUCAGGAGGCUUGUAGGAAGGAUAUCGAGCGGGCAUUUGGUGUGCUCCAAUCUCGAUUUGCUAUUGUUCAGUACCCCGCUCAGACCUGGUCGAAAGAUCAAAUGUGGGAGAUCAUGACUUGUUGUGUCAUCUUGCACAACAUGAUCAUUGAGAGCGAGCAGAAAGAGCCAGUGUUUGACACUGAACUAUAUUACAGGCAGGGUCCUCUUGCCCAAGUUGAUCACCAACUACCGGCAACCUGGACUGCUUUCCUCAAUAUGCGUCAGGAGAUCCGACACCCACAGAUGCAUCAACAACUGCAGCAGGAUCUGGUGAAGCACCUAUGGAGGCUCAAGGGCAACGCCUAGCUCGACGUGUGAUGAAAUAUGAGUUUCUAUUUGUUGAACUAUAUAAUUUGUAUUGAACUAUUUGAUUUUUAUUGAUUUUCUGUGAUGAACUAUGUGAUAAAAAAUAGCUUCUGUUGAAUUUGCGCUAAAUCACGGUGAAUAUGGGCCGACUUGCGCCGAUAGCGGGCCGAUUUUGCGCCGAAAGUGGGCUGAAAAGCGGGCAAAUUAGCGCCAAAAGUGGGUCGAUAUCGACGUCUGGGGGACCUGGGGACGGCGACUGGGAACCCAAUCGCCCCCAAGCGGAUUUUAGCGCCGGUUCAUCCCCAGACGGCGAUUUUUCAAGCCCCCUGGAGGGGGGCGACGGCUGGAGAUACUCUAACAAAAACAAAUUUUGAUCCUCGGUUUGCGAGCUCACGGGCUACAGUGCUGGCCACUACGCCAACUUCAGCUUUGUGUAUAAUACAAGGGUGCGACCUAGUUAAGGGUAAAAGACCCAGUUUUGCAUUGAUUUUCCGUGUUUUUGUUUCUGUUUUAUCUUUUUUUUCAUUUGUUUCUCUCUGUUUCUUUAUUUGUUUUCACCAUAUUUUACUUUCUUUCUUUUUCUUAUGUUUUAUUCAGAUUUCUCCGUUUUUUCUUCCUUUUACGUCUUUUUUGUUUUUCUUCACCGUUUUUUGUUUUUCUUUUCGUUCUACAUUCAGUUUUUCUUUGUUUCUUUCAUUGUUUUUAUCAUUUUUGGUAUUUCUUGGUUUGCAUUCUACAUUUUUCCUAUAUACGUGGCGCUUGAGGGUUGUGGCGCCAUCAACCUCAGCUGGCACGCGCUAUGGGCCGGCCUAGCUAACCACAAAUCACUCGUUUGCUUCCCAAGCCCUAGGUCGCUCGCUCGCCUAGUUUGACCGGUUGACCAAUGACUUGUUUUCCCGCAAAAAAAUGACUUGUUAACAGUUGAAGUGUCAAAACGUUGACCAUUCACCUUUUUAAAAUAUCAAAAAAAUUAAAAGGAAAGAGAUAAUGUUUGCAAACUAAAAAAAUCAUAAUUUGGUAAAAACGUGGCUUUAAAAAUUCAUGAUUUGUCUUUUAAAAAGCCAUGAAAUAUGGCAAAAGGUUCAUAAUUUUGAAAAAAAAUUGAAAAUUUUCAUGAAAUUUGGGGGGGAAAUUUCACGGAUUUGACUAAAAAUGACAUGGAUUUGGGAAAAGAUCACGCAUUUAAAAAAUCUUCAAUUUUCAAUUAAACUUUCACGAAUUAAAACAAAGUUCUCUGGAUUUCGAAAAAAAGUCACGGGUUUGAAAGAAGUUCAUCGACUUUUCACAAAUUUGAAAAACGUUCAUCAAUUUUGAAAAUAUGUUAUGAAUUCGAAAAAAUUGUGAAAAAAAAGUUCACAAAUUUGAAAAAACAUCACCUGAUUUUUGAAAAAAAAGGCUCGCAGAUUUAAGAAAAGUUCAUUGAUUGUGAUAAAAAUAAAUUUCAAAAAUUUGAAUAAAGUUAAUCAAUUUUGAAAAAGCUGACAUAUUUCAAAAAAUGUUUACAAAUUUGAUAAAGUUCACGAUUCGAAUAAAGUUCCAAAUUUGAUAUUUUUUAUGUAUUUUAGAAAAUAAAAAAGAAGAAGGAACAAGAAAAAAUAAAAACCCAAGUGAAAAAACAGAUGAAAAAUUGGCAAAGAAAAAAAGUCUAGAAGGCACAGAAUAAGAAACAACAGAAGUAUUAGAAAACAUAGUAUGUGAGCCGUCCGAGUUGGUUAUUGAAUUUGGAAGAAAUUUUUUUUGAGACAUUUGGAAGAAAAAAGUGAGGUUCUGAGUUCAAAUCUCACGACCCACGUCUCCUUUUGAAGGUUGAAAAAGAAGAAAAAUGGGCCGAGCCCAGGAUGCGGAGGGUGUACGCCGGAUUGUUCUGUUGCCUUAAACUGGAGUGGUGGAAGGGAAUGAGGGAGGUCCUAUCGGGUGCUUCAGGUGCCCGAACUCCUCCCUGGCGCUCGCUACGCCGCUUAGUUGGGCUGACCGACAAAAACGCGCAGACAGUGAACGCGGUAGAUCUCGCUGAAGCGUCUACAAUACUUGGGUCGGCCCAUAUUCAGAUCCCUGGUCUCCUAUGGGAUCGCCACUCCACUGGGAGCUCCUAUCGGGCUUCAGGCACCGAACUCGUCCCUGACGCUCGCUAUGCGCUUAGUUGGGUCGGCCCACAAAAAGGUAGUGAACGCAAAAACAACUCUACAAGUCCCGAACUCAUGCACAUCGAGGUCACCGUGACUCCCACUAGCCACUCGAGCUACCUAACGUUAGUGAUUUGUGUCAGCGACAAAUGCAUAAUAAACACAGUCGCCACGCUAAUAAUAGCACAGAACCAUCUACUAUAUCGCUUAAUUAUUUUUGAAUUAUUUGGAAAAGGCGUGAAUUAAUAAAAGUUCAUGGAUUUUGAAUCAAGUUCACAAACCAGAAAAAGUUUCAUUGAUUUUCAAAAAAAAAAUAUCAAAUUUGAAAAAAUGAUCUUGGGCUUUGAAAAGAAAAAUCGUUGAAUUUGAAAAUAGUUCAUCAAAUUUGAGAAACAUUCAUCAAAUUUGAAAAAAAAAGUUAACGGAUUUCCCAAAAAAUCAUAAAAUUUGAAAUAGUCCAUAGAAUUUUAAAAAAAACAUCAAAUUUGAAAAAUGUUCAUUGAAUUUGAAAAAAAGUUAAUGGAAUUUGAAAAAUGUUCAUCAAAAUGGAAGGAAGGUUCAUGAAUUUUCAAAAAAAUCAUGGGCUUGAAAAUAGUUCAUCAAGUUUUAAAUAAAGUUCAUCGAAUUUGAAAAAAAAAGUCACCGAAUUUGGAAAGUGUUCAUCAAAUUUGAAGAAUGUUCAUGAAAUUGAAAAAAGUUCAUGAAUUUUCAAAAAAAGUUCAUCGACUUGAAAAUAGUUCAUCGAGUUUGAAAAAAAGUUCAACAAAUUUGAAAUAAAAGUUCAUUGAAUUUGAAAAACAUACGUCAAAUUUGAAAAACAAUAAUCGAAUUUGAAAAUGUUCAUCAAAAUUGAAGAAAAGUUCAUGAAUUUCCAAAAAAGGUCAUCAAGUUUGAAAAAAAGUUCAUGCAUUUUUAAAAAAAGUUCAUCGAGUUUGAAAAAGAAGUUCAUCAAAUUUGAAAAAAGUUCAUGCCUUUUGGGAAAAUAAAAAAAGUAAAGAAAAUGAAAAUAAAAAACAAAAAGGAAAAAAAAGAAAUAGAGUAGAAAAAGAAAGAAAAACAAAUAAAACCGGUCCCAAAAAAACCAGAUAAAAAAGUAAAGCCGGCUGGGAACCCAGGCUUCGAGUGAGAAGACUAAAAGGGAGAAACGAAGUAAUAAGCACAAAGCGCUAGCUUUGCUAGUGGUUAUCGGCGAUGUCCUACGUAGAACAGGUCUGCAGCGGGGGCACAAUCAGGGACAAGUUUGAUGAGGAUAAUAGUAUGUCAGAGGAUGAGACUAGCUUGUUGGCUUUUUUUUAUAGAAGAAAACUUCAUGGGCACCAAAUGAUCAAGGCGAGACUUGAACCCUGGUGGACUGGCUGCAAACUCCCACGCCUUGCCAACUGAGCUACCCUCAGUUCUCAUCCACCUUGUGAUGAUACCGAUGCAUCAAACUCCCCUAGCAUAUUUUAGAUGUUUAGAACUUUUUCUUUAAAAAAUAGCACAUUACACAACAUAAAUGUAUGUUUUCGCAAAAUUUCAAAUUAAAAUUUUAAAAUAGUGUAUGUUGCCUCAAAAUCUCAAACUAAAAUUUAAAACAUAGCUUAGAAAACAAAAUGAUAAAUUUGACACUAAAUAGUACAUAAAUAAACUGGGCUUUAGAUUUGGCCGCUUGUCACAUUGAUGUCUAAUUAAUCAUUUUCGUAUCUCGAGCAUUGUUUUGAAUUUUGAUAUGAACUUUUAUGAUAGUAUACAUUGAUGUUGAGUCAAUAUGCUAGAUUUUAGAAGGAAAAAAAACUCAGGUUUUCAGGGCAUUGCAUUCUCACCAAGCCCCUUUCACACAACCUAUGCUUUCUCUCUCUGAAAGGCCUCUGAUUUCAUGAUCCAAUUUGAAAAACUGGCUGAAAAUUGUAGCUCUAGCUGAAAGAAAUCCCCCACUCAAGUUAGGCCCCGGAAAACCAACCAAUGGAAAGAAUGCGCGACUGAGGCCCUCGUAAAUCAAAUUAUUAUUUGAACUAUAGCGGCAAAUCUCUUGAUAUCGGAGGCUGGUUUCUAGGCAUAGGAGCCGUCAUGCACCCCAACUUGUACAAAAAGGAUCAGAGGUCAAAAUUAGUUAAUGAAUUAUGAUAUUUGUGAAACAUACAUUGAUGUUGUUAAUGUGCUAGAUUUUUAAACAAGGAACUUCAAUUAAGCCAGAUUCUAUUUUUGGGAGUGGGAAUUCAUAAGUCAAUAAAAAAGUGGAAGAGCAUGAAGCUUCAUUCCCUUGCAAGCUGAUAUGGCGCCUGGCAUUUAGAUUCAAAACAGAGCAAUCUCGGGCCGCAGCUUCUAAGAAUAUCAAACUUUGCCAAGAACCCAGCUAGCAGGUUUUGCAGCGACCCUCCCAGAGAGCAUAACAAGCUGACUAUAACUGUACUUACUUGAGGGGGAGUUGACCGGCUGCAAUACAUUGGGAUUCAAUAAUCUGCUGCACAAAAUCUGGUUUGAAAGCUUAACCUGAGGGACCCUUAAGCCAUUGCAGCAACACAAUUCUGGCUAAAGCUGCACAAAAUCUGGUUCUGGAAGCUGAACCCGAGGGACCCUUAACAACCAUUGCGACAGUAAACGUCCUAACUCAAACACAGUUCUGGCUCUCAACAAGGGCAUCAAACAUCUGAACCAAAAAUCCGAGCAGGCACAGACGAGGCGAAAAGCCCCACAGAAAGGAAGAGAAAUAAGAUUAUUCAGGCAAACACAAGUACUGGACUGAACGAUUUAUAUAAUCUUCACAAACCACAACCAAAAAAGAGUACUUGAUUAGCAACUCCAUUACAGAAGUACUAGUUGAUGCGGAAAACAGAAGGUAACUCAUGUCCAACUAACAUGAACCAGGCGUCGUCUGGCGACACCAUCCACAUUUAUUCUUCGCAUAGACAAAGCAGGGACACCUGACCAAAGGAAAUCAGAACGCUCUACUGAGUCUUGGCCAUGUGGCGGAUCAGAUCGACAACGCGGUUGCUGCACAGAAAUAAGAUUCAAGUGUUACAGGCUGAAGCUGAAGCGAUGAAACAGAGACAUUGGAUAGCGUGUUGUAGAAACAAAUCCGUUAUAUGGCAACUAACC
This 60746-nucleotide long non-coding RNA is filed under the name Triticum aestivum (bread wheat). Its description in RNAcentral is "long non-coding RNA (TAES_LNC014855)". Lineage: Eukaryota; Viridiplantae; Streptophyta; Magnoliopsida; Poales; Poaceae. The record is from RNAcentral.